GGAGGUUCUGUCCGUUCGGCGUUUGUUCGACGCGCCCGAGCCGGACCAAAUUGGUAGCGGUCUCGGGGCGUGACAGUCACGGUUCCUAAAUCUUCAAUAGCAAUAGUAUAUAUAAGGAAACGUGUGUGCAGAGUUGGACCAGUUAUCUUGGAUGAUUAAGUAGGUUUAGCAUUUGGGGAUUAUAUUGUAUACCCAUCUUACAAGAGACUCUAGAAAAGAUGUAGGUUAUCGAAUAUACUUGCAUACUGUGAGAUACUGUGCCACCUCGAAUGGCCUGCCUGACCCUCCGCAGGCUCCUUUUCGGCAAGUGGUCAUUCAUGGUGUAGAUCAAAUUUGAUUAAAUUUUAUUUUGAAAUUAGGUUUAUAGGUUUAUGGCUUCAGCCAGACUCAAGAAUCUGCUGUUACUUACCCCACUCUUGCAUUGUUAAGGAACUUUCGAUUAAGAGACCAAAUGUAAAUACGGAUAAUAAAAGAAAUCAAAGUGUAAACACAAAAUCUUAUUAAUAUAAUUUGCUAUUUAUAUGGCUUAAGCAGGGCAUACCCGCACUGUACAUAAAUUUUGUAAAAUUAAAAUACCUAGUUUAUGGAUUUGGUGGUUGAUCGGAAUUGAAUUGCUCAGUUUAAUGACUUGGCGGUCGAUUGGAAUUAAACAGCUCAGUUUAAUGACAUGGCGGUCGGCUGAAAUUAAUUUGCUCAGUUUAACAACUUGGUGGUCAAGUUAAAAUUAGUCUGAUUUGACUUGUUCAGUUUAACGACUUAACAGUCAAGCUGAGUUAAGUUUCGCUUGAUUGGCUCAGUUUAAAGAUUUGGCGGUCAAGUUGAGAUUGGCUUGACUUGACUUGACUUGCUUAGUUUAAAGACUUGGCGGUCAAGUUGGGUUGAGUUUCAUUUGAUUUGUUCAGUUUAACGACUUGGCGGUCAAGUUGAGACAAGUUUGGUUUGAUUUGCUCAGUUUAAUGACUUGACGGUCACUUGAAAUAAGUUUGGUUUGAUUCGUUCAGUUUAAUGACUUAGCGGUCAUUGAAUUAAGUUUUAUUUAAUUUGCUCAGUUUAACGAAUUGGCAGUCAUUUGAUACUGGCUUGUGAGCUCGGCCAAUUAAUUUGAAUUCAGCUCGAUUUAAACCCUUGAUCUAUUUCAGUUCGGGUAGAGCUGGUUUACUUGAUUUGGAUCAUCCUUGAAGUUUGAUCUGAACCUUUAUUCAGGUUGGGUUCAAGUUGAAUUGGUUUGAACCUUUUGUUUUUGAUUUGGGUUGAGCUGCCUUAGGCUUUCGCUUGGUUUGUCCCUUUUGAAUUUGGUUUAGAUAGAACCAUUAUGCUUUGUUCAGGACUUGUUGAGACUUGGUUUAGUUCGAACCCUUAUGAUUUAGUUCGAGACCCUUUGAAUUUGAUUUGGGUCGAGCCCUUGUUGUUCGGCUCAACUUGGAUUCUUUUAUAGUUCAAUUUGGUUUGGAUAGAGUCCAUAUGGUUUGGUUGGAAAUCUGUUUGAGUUUGAUUUGGGUUGAGCUCUUAUGGUUCUGCUCAAUUGGGGACCCUUUUGGAUUAGGUUUGGGUUGAACACUUGUGGUUUGGUUUACGACUCCUUUGUGUUUGGUUUAAGUCAAACCAGCUUGUGGUUCAAUUUGGUUUCGUUCGGAACUCCUGUAGUUCGAUUUAGGUUGAACGGCAUUAUAAUUCGGUUCAAGUUGUACUAGGCCGGCUUGCUUCAAAUUUCUUCUGAUUCAACUCUGGUUGAACUAGCUUAUAAUUUGGUUCAGUUUGGUUAGAACCUUGGAUGGUUCAAUUUAGGUUGAACCGGUUUGUAAUACCGUUCAAAUUGGAUCCUUUAUGGUCUGGCUAGAACCUUUAGUGGUUCAGUUUAGGUUGAACCGGUUUAUAAUUUGGUUCAAAUUGAAUCCUUCAUGGUUUGGUUUAAGUUGAAUCGGCAUGUAAUCCGGUGCGGCUCGUCAUUAUGGUUUGGUUCACCAUUUAUCUCGAUUAUAUUUAUCCCAAAUUAUGUUCAUGUUGGGUUUAGUUUGAAUACAAGUGUUAGCAUGAUUGAUUUAGUUCGGCUUGGGUUGAAAACCCGCAUCAAGGUUAUGAAACAUUUAUUGAAUAAUCAGAUGUAUAAUUAAUUUAUCAUUUUAUCACACGAGAAUUGAAAUACAUUUUUGAUGGUUUGAUCAAACUUCAAAGCCUAUCAUAAGGAUGGCGAUCUCUGGUUUUAACGAACCGAAUCAAGCCUAUCACGAAGACGGUGAUCCGGUUUAAGCCAAAUUCAAAUCAAGCCUAUCACGAAGACGACGAUUUCUCGUCGCAAUCCAAAACGAAGUUGUCCUCCGCGUCGAAUUAUCCUUCAAUUAAGGUUUUAUAAGGUCAAUUUGAUUCUAAACCUCAUGAGGACAAAAGCCCCAAUUUUUAGCCCUAGGUUUCAUGAAUCCUCAAGAACACCAAUAUCCAUAAUAAAUCGUUACUUAAUCUUGUUUAGAAUCACAUGGAGAUCUCAAAUAGACUAAUUGUAAAGGGUUUAACACAAACCCUAACUUAAAUCAUGAAAUCUUACCUUAGGCCGCCAUGCUCACCAAGCUAAAUCCACCAUUGGAGAGCUCCUAGCUUCUUCUCCAAGCUAUUCCCAAGUUUAAUCUCUAAUUUCUCCUCCGACUUCUUCUCUUUGGUGGAGAGAUUACAAGAGAGGGAGAAAGUGGUGAGAGUUAGAGAGAAAGAGAGAAGACUUGCUUCCUCUCUCUCUCUCGGGUUGAACCAGGACAAAGGGGAGAGCCAUUUGUUACACACUAAGGCCCCCCCCCAACAAUUGCAACUUAUAAUUUAGUCUAGUUCAGAAUCUGAUACUUUUUGCCGAAGCCCUUCUGAAUGCCCGUUUGCGCUCAAAUUUAACAGUCAGGUUCGGUUUAAAUUAACAAGAAGAACAAAAUCUUAACUUUGCAGUUUCGAACCGUUUUUGGUCACCGAAAGCUCUACUGAUUAAAAUCUCUAGCAGAUAGCAGUCAGAUUUUAUUUUCCACUUUCCAGGUGUCGGAAUGACAUGAAACUUUAAAUAUAGUCUCAGAAAAAUAAUUCCGACAUAUUCUCAAAUUUUCAUAAUUUUUUGACACUGAAUUUUCCGCUAAAAGAUCAGCCCCGUUCUUUACAGAAAAUUCUAAAUCUUCUGUUUCUAUUCCAAUUUCAGCACAAGUCAUUUCCGACUUAUAUUUUACUUUUUUAAGUCUAAUAAAAAUAGUAUCUCACAUUAUUUUUAUUUACAUUUACUUUUAUAUUAAAAUCCGGUACACUACAGUGGCCCAUUGUUUUUGACCGGAAACGAUGACGAUAGUGGCAGUGGCGGCGAUGGCGACGGCGACUGCAAACGGGAGAACCCAUGGCCCUUUCUUUUCUUUGAUAAUGGGAUUGCGUGAGAAGGCCUUGUGGCCUUUUCCUCGAUUUCUUCGAUCGUAGCAAUGGCUACUCCAAAGCAAUGUCGGCUGCCACGACAACAACGGGGUGGUGAAUGUGCGUGAACGACAUAGGAACUAUCGUAUUGUGAGUUUGAUCUAGAGGUCAUCUUCGUAAUAGGCUCGACAGGAUCAAAAUUGACAAUAGGCCGUUACCAUUAUCAUAAGCAUGCAUUCACUAUCAUGAAGUAGUUGGGGUUCCGCUAUCAUCAACAUGUGCCCAAACGAUAUGAUGACGAUCUUUGUGUCGUGGUGAUCGAGCGACCGUCUUCGUGCUAGGCUUGACAUGAUCAAACCCGAUAUCAGAUCGUUACCCUCGUUGGACCCGUGUUCAUGUUUACUAUACCGAGCGGCCGUCUUCAUGAUAGGGUCGAUAUGGUCGAACUCCUAUUUGGACCACAAUAAUAAUAAUAAUAAAGUAAAAAAAUAAAAUAAAAUCUGAAAUAAAAUAAAUAAAUAAAAUGAAAAUAACAAAUAUUUUUCUUCUAUCGCCCUCUUCGUGAUAGGCUUGAUUCGAUUUGACUCAAACCAAAUCGUCGUCUUCGUGAUAGGCUUGGUUCGGGGUCGGCUUAAAUCAGAUUGCCGUUUUCGUGAUAGGCUUGAUCCGGUUUGUUAAAUGAAAUCGUUGUCUUCGUAAUAGGCUUGAUUUAGGUUCGGCUUAAACCUCUUCGUGAUAGGCUUGAUUUGGAUUCCGCUUAAACCGGAUUGCCAUCUUCGUGAUAGGCUUGAUUUGGGUUCAGCUUAAACCGGAUCGCCAUCUUCGUGAUAGACUUGACCUAAUUCGUUAAACCAAAUUGUCGUCUUUGUGAUAGGCUUGAUUUGGGUUUGGCUUAAGCCAAUUCGCCGUCUUCGUGAUAGGAUUUUGGGUUCGCUUAAAUCGGAUCGCCGUCUUCGUGAUAGGGUUGACCUGGUUCGUUAAACCAAAUCGCUAUCUUCGUGAUAGGCUUGAUGUGGGUUCGGCUUAAAUUGGAUCGCCGUCUUCGUGAUAGGCUUAACCUGGUUCGUUAAACCAAAUUGCGAUCUAUGGUGAUAGGCUUGAUUUCGGUUCGACUUAAACCAAAUCGCGGUCUUCAUGAUAGGCUUGACCCAAUUUGUUAAAACAAAUCACUGUCUUCGUGAUAGGCUUGAUUUGAGUUCGCUUAAACCGAAUUGCCUCAUCGUGAUAGGCUUGAUCAGAUUCAUUAAACCAAAUCGCCGUCCUCGUGAUAGGCUUGACUUGGGUUCGACUUAAAUCGGAUCGCCGUCUUCGUGAUAGGCUUGACCGGGUUUAUUAAACCAAAUCGCCGUCUACGUGAUAGGCUUGAUUUUGGUUUAGGGAUUGCUGUCUUCAUGAUAGGCUUGACUGGGUUCGUUAAAACCAGGUUGCUGUCCUAGUGAUAAGCUUGAUCAAACCAUUGGAAAUAUACUUCAAUUCUCAUGUGAUACAUCUGAUUAUUCAAUAAAUGGUUCAUAACGUUGAUGCGUUUUCAACCAAAUUGAACCAAAUCAAUCGCACUAACACUAGUAUUCAAAUCAAACCCAACAUGAAUAUAAUCCGGGAUGAAUAUAAUCGAGAUUAAUCGUAAACUGAACUGGAUUACAGCUGGUUCAGCUUAAACCGAAGCAUAAAGUAUCCAAUUUGAACCAAAUUAUAUACUGGUUCAACAUAAACUGAACCACUGAAGGUUCUAGCUGAACGGAACCAGAUUACAUGUUGAUUCAACUUAAAUUUAACCAUAAAGGAUCCAAUUUGAACUGUAUUAUAAACAGGUUCAACCUGAACUGAAGCAUCAAAGGUUCUAACCAAAUUGAAUCAAAUUACAAGCCAGUUCAACCCGAAUUGAAUCAGAAGAAAUUCGAACCAAACCAAAUCGAACCACAGGAGGUCGGGACCAAACCAAAUCGAACCACAAGCCGGUUCGACUUAACCCAAACUCAAAGGAGUCUUAAGCCAAACUGUAGGGGUUCAACCCAAACGUAAUCCAAAGGGGUUCCAAGUUGGGCCGAGCCAUAAGAGCGCAACCCAAAUCAAACUCAAACGUAUCUCGAACCAAACCAUAAGGAUUCGAUGCGAAACAAAUUGAACUAUAAAAGGGUCCAGAUUGAGCCAAACAAUAAAGGUUCAACCCAAAUCAAAUUCAAAGGGUCUCGAACUAAGUCAUAAGGGUUCAACCUAAACCAAGUCUCAACGGGUUCUGAACCAAAACAUAGCGGUUCAAUCUAAACCAAAUUCAAAAGGGACAAACCAAGCGAAAGCCUAAGGCGGCUCAACCCAAAUCAAAUACAAAAGGUUCAAACCAAUUCAACCUGAACCCAACCUAAACAAAGGUUCAUAUCAAACUUUAGGGAUGAUCCAAAUCAAGCAAACUAGCUCCACCCGAAUUGAAAUAGAUCAAGGGUUUAAAUCGAGCUAAAUUCAAAUUAAUCAGCCAAACUCAUAAGCCAGAAUCAAAUAACCACCAAUUUGUUAAACUUUUUCAAAUUACCUCCGAGUUGUUAAACUGAACAAAUCAAACCAAACCUAUUUCAAAUGAUCGUCAAGUCAUUGAACUGAGCAAAUCAAGCCAAACUUGUCUCAACUUGAUCGCCAAGUCGUAAAAUUGAACAAAUCAAAUAAAACGCAACCCAACUUGACUGCGAACUCUUUAAACUGAGCAAGUCAAGUCAAGCCAAACUCAACUUGACCUCCAAGUCUUUAAACUGAGCCAAUCAGACGAAACCCAACUUGACAAUUAAGUUGUUAAACUAAAUGAGUCAAAUCAGAGUCCUUUUAACUUGACCGUCAGUCGUUAAAUUGAGCAAAUUAAUCUCAACCGACCGUCAUGUCAUUAAACUGAGCAGUCCAAUUCCAAUCCAAUUCCAAUCGGCCACCAAGUCCAUAAACUAAAUAUUUUAAUUUUACAAAAUUUAUGUACAGUGGGGGUAUGCCCUUGCUUAAGCGAUGUACAUAGCAAAUUAUAUUAAUAAAAUUUUAUCUUUACAUUUCGGUUUCCUUUAUUAUCAGUAUUUACAUUGGUUUCUUAAUCGAGGGUUUUUUAACAUUGCGUGUGGGGGUAAUUAACAGCGGAUUCUUGAGUCUGCUGGAAAAUUUAGCCAGAUUUGAUCUAUACCAUGAAUGACUGCUCGUCGGAGAAAAGCCUGCGGCGGGUUGGGCCGUUCGUGGCGGCAUAGAAAGCAGCAAAUCAUUUACCGCUUUUAGAAAGCGGUGAAUCAUUUACUACUUUCUAAAAGUGGUAAACCAUUUAUCGCAUCAGCCUAGUUUUACAAAUAAAAGUUUUGAAUGCCAAUUCUUACAAUUAAAAAACUCUAUAGAGUCAGUCGCCCAAAAAACUCAAGUGAAUUGCUGUGAUCUUUUAGGGGCAGAAGUUUAGUUGUGCAAUUUUGGCUACUCUAACUAUAAAUCUUAGCCCUCUUUUACUAUGUUUUGAUAGCAUCUGCCCAAUUGAUUUAUCGGCCUUCAUCUGAUUUCCUAUCUUUUUGGUGGGUGGAACACAGAACUUAAUCUGGACAGAGAUAUGAUAACUGGGCGAGUGAUUGAAGAAAUGCCAGAAAUGUCUGGAUCAUAUAUUGCGUAUACAGCAGUGGCACUAGUGAUACUUACCAUUUUCAACAAUAUAAUGUUCAAUUUGUUCAUAAAGCCAACCGUCGAUGGCAAUGAACAAGUGACGAAAAUUGAAAGAAUACCUCUACGUGAACCAAAAUAGGAGCAAUUGUUGUAACUUGGAGUGAGAACUAGAUCGGUACGUACUCUGAAUCUUGACAGAAAGUACUUUCGGACUCUGCUACAUCUUAUACCAUAAUAAAUAUGUUUGGAGCAAUUGUUGUAACUUGGAGAGCAAACUAGAUCGGUAUGUACUCUGAAUCUUGCAGAAAGUACUUUCAGACUCUGCUACAUCUUAUACCAUAAUAAAUAUGUUUGUUUCUUUGACUUGUGUGUUGCAGUAGCCAGUGACUGCUGGUUUAUACAAUAGCUGUUCUUAUAGAUAUUGUAUGUGAGGUAGAUGUUGCAUUUUAAGCUUCCCGGAUCUAGUACUGUAAGGAUGAUUCUUGGGUGUACAGGGGCUGGCAUAUUAAAAAUGGUAGUUUGGGCAUAAGCAUUUUGGACCAUGAUGUUUAACGUUCUGUUUACCAAGUUUCUAACACUAUUUCGUAUUACCGACCGUUUCUAGCACAAGUGGCAAAGGGUUUAGUGGUUGGUACCCAAAGUCUCAAGUUCGAAGCCUAAUUGUUUCAUAUUUUUCAGCUAAGUUUAUUUCUAAAAAAAUAAAACAAAGCCGGUAGUAUGCUGCAACCUUUCUCUCUCUUAUAUAUAUAUAUAUAUAUAUAUAUAUAUAUCAGACAAUUCAGGCCUAUGCAGCUGUGGCAGUUUAUGUGCUGGAUCCACUGUUCGUCUGUUGCUAGCUUUCCAUUGAAUCAUUUAUGCUAGGGCUGUGAAUAUAUAAGCUUGACUUUGUUUGUCGAGAUCUCUACGGAUAUUGUGGUGUUAGGUGAGUGGUCCAAGUUGACGAUGGAAGCACAAACUCCAUGACUUAUGAGAGUAUUAAUCAAAGUAGGACAAAUUUAUGUAGAGAUAUAGGGGCCAUAUGAUUUAAUAUAGUGUAAUAUAGUGCAAUUAAAUAUGUAUGUAGAUGAAGAUGCAACAGUUAUGUUUGCAUCUAGGUGUUUUUUCUUUUCUUUUUUUUUUUUUAUAGUCGAGAAUGAUGCAACUACAUAUUUUUUGUUAGAUUGCUUGUAGUUGGAAAUUGCAUUUACAGAUUUUUCUUUAUUAUGUUAUAUGGGUGAUGGCGGGAUCACUCCUGAAGGAAGAAAAUUUGCCCUUUAGGCCACGUUUGAUUCACACCAUGAAAGAUUAUUGGGAGUAAAAAGAUAUACGAGAAUUUUAUUCCUAUUCAUCCUAUUACUAAGAACGUAAUAUUUUAGUGUUUGGUUUGUACGGGUCAUAUUAUUUAGUCAUAUUAUUUAAAAUUACGAAAAAUAUAUAAUUUAUUUAUUUAUUUAAUUUUAAAUAAUACUAUAAAAAAUUUCAACAUCUUUUUUAGAAAAAAGAGAGAGAGAAUAUAGGUUAGAAAAGGAGAGCAUAAUUAAAGAAAUAGGAAGAGAAAUAGAGUCGAGAUUAGAGAGAACGAGAGGGUUGAGAUUCUAGAAAAAGAGGGGGAGAAAUAACUUAAUUAAUUUAGAGAGAAAAAGUUGAAGUUUAGAGAGAAAAAGAUAAGUUUAGAGAGAGAUAUGAGGUUAGAGUAUAAAAAAAAAUAAUACCAACUAGCCGGCGGGUGAGAAAAAAAAAAAAAAAGACAUAUUAUAAUUACUCUAAUCCAUUAAUAUAAGGAUACCCAACCUCCCUCGAGGGAAUGAGAUUAAUACUUGGGGUUGCAUCUCAUUCCCAAGUAAAUCUAGUAUUACCAACUAGAUUACUUAAUGCGUUUAGCCAAACGCCGUCAUAUUUUUUUAUUCCUAUUGAAUUACUAGAAAUCUUAAAAAGAUAGCGCGAACCAAACGCACCCUUAGUUUUACCAUGUAAGAGGCAAGUGAAUAGAUAAGAUUAUCUCUUUGUAAAAUUAUUCUCUUCAUUUGUUGUAUUUUCAAUUGCAUCCAAUUGGAACAUAGGUUGAGAUACAUUUGAACCUUCAUCUACAAGUCUGAUAACGCUAUAUUAAUACACCUAAAACAAACCAAGCUGGAUAUGUUUGUAGUUGCACUUAGAAUGCAUGCUGAAAUGCAAAGAACCAAACACCCUCAUAAAUCGCAAUUAGGUUUCAACUGCAGGGUGAGAAGAAAGACUAUUCCUCAAUUGAAGGGUGAAAAGAAAGUACUUUUGGUCUGAUAGUUUUUCACACCUAUCCUCUGUUUGGUGUAAUAUAUUCCCCGACCUUACAAAAGAAUAGAGUUUAGCUAGAAUACUUCUGGAAGUACGGAGGUCUUCGUGCUUUCAAGAUGUUUUCGAUAGUUGGACCUCCUAAUCGUUGAUUAAUUUUGUUAGACAUGAUCCAUACUAUUGAAAACAUUUAGAAAUCAAAUUUUAUAAUUCUUUUACAUUAUUUGCUUAGUGAACAAAUAAUCUUAAUGUAAACGGCUAAAAUUAAAACUUUCAAAAGUAUAAUGAUAGAAAUUUAAAUUUUAGAUCAGAAGUAUUUACCAUGUUCUAGAUAGUGCAAAAAAUUUUCUAUCAAAUUUUUAUUUGGUUUGGAUUGCUCUAUACUGUUGAAUUUAUAAACAUGUCGGCCAUUAAAAUUUACAGUUUUGAGACUUUUUAUUUACUGGGCAAAUGAAGUCAUAAGUUUUAACUUGGUUUCUAUAUACUUUAAAGAAUGUAGAUCAUGUCUAGUUGAGCCAAUCGUCGAUUCGGAUGUUUUAUUAUUGAAAAUAACUUGAAAGUAUAGAAGCCUCCGUAUUUUCAAAAGUAUUCGAGUUGCACUCAGGAAAACAAUAGAAACUGAAGUUUUUAACGAAAUUUUUAGAAAACUUGGGGCAUUUAUGUGUUAUUAGACCAUUUUUAAUAAAACAAAAUUCCCAUCUUCGAGGUCUGACAAUGAUGAAAGUUGUGAGAGGGUCUUUUCUGCGAUUUCGUAUGAUAAAAACAGUGUUUGAAGAUAAAAUUGGUGAGAAAGCAACAGAUAAAAAAGGGUUUUUACGCUAAAAGUGUGAUAUUUUACGUGUCAAAUUAAGAGAAUUUUCAAAUGGGGCCGUGGAGGUGCUAUUGUGCAAACUACACGUCGGGGAAUUUUUGAGUAAGAAUAUCAAAAGUAGACGGGCUAAAUCACAAUUGUCACAAAAUUGAGUCUAGAAACCAUAGGGUGUGUUUGGUUCCCUGUAAAAGCUACCGAAAAAAAAAAAAAAAAAAAAGGGACUGAGAAAAUCAUUUUCCUAGUGUCUGGUUUGAUGUAAAAAAAUAUUUUUUGAAAAAAAUUAUUUUACGGAUACUAAAGAAAAGCAAGCGUUCGGUUGCCACCAGUGGAAAACGGAAACUCACCAUGAAAAAUCGCGGCCCAGGCUUGUUCCUUGCAUCGCGGUCCUCUCUCUCUCUCUCUCUCUCUCUCUCUCUCUAUAUAUAUAUAUAUAUAUAGAGCAAGACUGUUGUACUCUUAGGAGUACGGAGGUUUCUGUACUCCUGAGCCGUUUUCAAUGAUAAAAUUUCGAAUUGACAAUCGGCUCCGUCAGGCUUAAUCUAACAUAUUUGAAAUUUCUAAAAAAUAAUUUUUACGAUUUUUUUAUAUUAUUUACCUAACAAUUAAAGGGAUUUAACAUCAUCGGCUGAAAAUAAAAAUCCUAUAAAAAGUGGUGAUAUAGCACUAAAAUUUUCGAUUAGAGAUAUUGAUCCUGUUGUAGAUAGUAUAAAAAAUUUUGUAUCAAAAUUUUAUUCAAUAUGUAUAUUUUUACACCGUUAAACUUGAAAACGGCGUACAUCAACCAUUAAAAAUUAUUGAUUUUGAACCAUUUCGAUCACUAGGUAAAUAAUAUCCAAAAUCGUAAAAAUUAUUUUAUAAAAACUUCAAAUAUGCUAGAUUAAGUCUAACGGAGCCGAUCGUCGAUUCGAAAAUUCUAUUAUCGAAAACGGCUCAGGAGUACAGAGGCUUCCAUGCUCCUAAGAGCACAACAGUGCUUUUAUAUAUAUAUAUAUAUAUAUAUAUAUAUAUAUGAGUCCGGCUACUAUACUAUCGAUAGUACCAAGCCCUUGGUACUAUUGAUUAUUCUAUCGUUAGAUCUACCCUUUGAUCAUUUCCACCCAUUAGAUUAUAUUAUUAAACCAACCACCCACUCAACCCUAGAGGACCACUAUCAUCCUAACUGCACAUCUAUUCAUCCAACGGCCGAAAAGUCAAUAGUACCAAGGGCUUGGUACUAUUGAUAGUAUAGUAGCAUAUAUAUAUGUAUAUAUAGUCCAGCUAUGGUGCUUGUAAAAGCACCAAGCACUCGGUGCUUGUAAAUUUUUUACCGUUAGAUUACUCCACGUAUCAUUUUCAACCAUUAGAUUAUACUAUUCAACCAACCACCCACUCAACCCUAAGUGGCCCACAUCAUCCUAAUCGCAUAUUUCUUAAUCCAAUGGCUAAAAAUCUACAAGCACCAAUGUCUUGAUACUUUUAAAAGUAUAGGAGCUCAAUUAUAUAUAUAUAUAUAUAUAUAUAUAUAUAAUUUAGCUACUUUUAGAAGUAUUAUCCACUUGGUGCUUCUAGGUUUUAGCCUUUGAAUCCACUCCUUGAUUACUAAUAGCCCUUAGAUCAAACACUAUUCCACCUAUCCCCACCUACCACCAUUAUUCCAACCUUACAUUAAGGGUUAAAAACUCAAAGCACCAACCUCUUGGUGCUUGUUGGUGCUUUCGAGAGUAUUCUGGCUAGCUCAACUAUAUAUCAUUUGCUUAGUGAACGAAGGGGCUCAAAAUCAACGGCUGAAAAUAAAAAUCUUACAAAAUAUAAUAAUAUGACAUUAAAAUUUUAAAUCAAAGAUAUUGAUCUUGUUUUAUAUAGUAUAAAGAAUUUUCUAUCAAAAUUUCACGUGAUUUGGAUAUUUCUACACCGUUAAACUUGCAAACGGCUCACUACGGCCAUUGAAAUUUGUUGAUUUUGAGCCCAUUCGAUCACUAGGCAAAUGAUAUCGAAAAAUAAUAAAAUUUAUUUUCUAGGUACUCCAAAUACUCUAGAUCAAGUUUAACGGAGCCGAUCGACGAUUCGAAAGUCNNNNNNNNNNNCGCCACCGGCUGCUGCCCGCCGCCGGCCAGCACCUCCCCCGGACUUCUCCGACCGGCUGCUCCCAUCUCCGGCCGGAGCGCCCGCCGCCCGAUAGCCGGCGGCCAUCCCUAGCUCCCACUGCUCCGGUGAGUAGCCAUUUAUGGUUCCAGCACUACAGUUUUGUGUUCCGAUCACUUUUCCGGUGAUCCGAUGACUCCCUGGCACCUCGGGAGGUGAGCACGAUGAUCGUGGGUUCGUGCUGAACACGAUGCUCACCUCCAUUUAGGUUAACGGUGCCCUGGUUAGUGAGUAAUGUGCUCGCUGGUUCGCUGUUGUUCGCGUCGCUCGUGAGCGCGUAGUUGCUGCCGGAAGUGCUCCGAAAGGUGAGCACGGCCCCAGGCAUGCUGAAACCUAGCAGCAAGUGUGAUGGCACCCUCCGUAGAUCCCUGGUUUGCUGGUACGACCCGUUGGAGCCAUGAAAUCAUUUAAAAUAAUGUGAUUUCAUGGGCCAUUAGGGAUCCUUUUGCGUUUCGCUUCGUCGUGGCUGCUGUUGGCAGCAGGUCAAGGCUUAAGAUAACCUCUGGACUGAUCGUCCAAGGCCCCAAGCCCUUGCGGAAAUCUAACUGUCAUUUCCGGAGCGUUUUUCGGCGAAAUCCGCCUAUAGAACGCGUGUUCGACCCGGAAUUCAUCCGACGGUGCCUCAUGGUUGAUUGUUGCGUCGCUGAGCCUUGUUGGCUGGUCACCCGUGUCGUCUCGAGGGUUCAGAAACGACGGGUGAGCGACGGUGGAGUUCCGGGACGGUUUCCGGGACUUCCGGCUGGUUCGGAAGUUGCGUUUGAGAAACCGAUUUCCGAGGGGUUAUGAUUUUGGGAUUUGUGUGAGAAUGGUCGUGUUAUUGUGUUUGUGGGUUAGACUCUAACCCGGUGGACCCUUCGUAGGUCCGGUCGCUUCGUCUCCGCCUUCGCGAGACCGUUUCAGNNNNNNNNNNNNNNNNNNNNNNNNNNNNNNNNNNNNNNNNNNNNNNNNNNNNNNNNNNNNNNNNNNNNNNNNNNNNNNNNNNNNNNNNNNNNNNNNNNNNNNNNNNNNNNNNNNNNNNNNNNNNNNNNNNNNNNNNNNNNNNNNNNNNNNNNNNNNNNNNNNNNNNNNNNNNNNNNNNNNNNNNNNNNNNNNNNNNNNNNNNNNNNNNNNNNNNNNNNNNNNNNNNNNNNNNNNNNNNNNNNNNNNNNNNNNNNNNNNNNNNNNNNNNNNNNNNNNNNNNNNNNNNNNNNNNNNNNNNNNNNNNNNNNNNNNNNNNNNNNNNNNNNNNNNNNNNNNNNNNNNNNNNNNNNNNNNNNNNNNNNNNNNNNNNNNNNNNNNNNNNNNNNNNNNNNNNNNNNNNNNNNNNNNNNNNNNNNNNNNNNNNNNNNNNNNNNNNNNNNNNNNNNNNNNNNNNNNNNNNNNNNNNNNNNNNNNNNNNNNNNNNNNNNNNNNNNNNNNNNNNNNNNNNNNNNNNNNNNNNNNNNNNNNNNNNNNNNNNNNNNNNNNNNNNNNNNNNNNNNNNNNNNNNNNNNNNNNNNNNNNNNNNNNNNNNNNNNNNNNNNNNNNNNNNNNNNNNNNNNNNNNNNNNNNNNNNNNNNNNNNNNNNNNNNNNNNNNNNNNNNNNNNNNNNNNNNNNNNNNNNNNNNNNNNNNNNNNNNNNNNNNNNNNNNNNNNNNNNNNNNNNNNNNNNNNNNNNNNNNNNNNNNNNNNNNNNNNNNNNNNNNNNNNNNNNNNNNNNNNNNNNNNNNNNNNNNNNNNNNNNNNNNNNNNNNNNNNNNNNNNNNNNNNNNNNNNNNNNNNNNNNNNNNNNNNNNNNNNNNNNNNNNNNNNNNNNNNNNNNNNNNNNNNNNNNNNNNNNNNNNNNNNNNNNNNNNNNNNNNNNNNNNNNNNNNNNNNNNNNNNNNNNNNNNNNNNNNNNNNNNNNNNNNNNNNNNNNNNNNNNNNNNNNNNNNNNNNNNNNNNNNNNNNNNNNNNNNNNNNNNNNNNNNNNNNNNNNNNNNNNNNNNNNNNNNNNNNNNNNNNNNNNNNNNNNNNNNNNNNNNNNNNNNNNNNNNNNNNNNNNNNNNNNNNNNNNNNNNNNNNNNNNNNNNNNNNNNNNNNNNNNNNNNNNNNNNNNNNNNNNNNNNNNNNNNNNNNNNNNNNNNNNNNNNNNNNNNNNNNNNNNNNNNNNNNNNNNNNNNNNNNNNNNNNNNNNNNNNNNNNNNNNNNNNNNNNNNNNNNNNNNNNNNNNNNNNNNNNNNNNNNNNNNNNNNNNNNNNNNNNNNNNNNNNNNNNNNNNNNNNNNNNNNNNNNNNNNNNNNNNNNNNNNNNNNNNNNNNNNNNNNNNNNNNNNNNNNNNNNNNNNNNNNNNNNNNNNNNNNNNNNNNNNNNNNNNNNNNNNNNNNNNNNNNNNNNNNNNNNNNNNNNNNNNNNNNNNNNNNNNNNNNNNNNNNNNNNNNNNNNNNNNNNNNNNNNNNNNNNNNNNNNNNNNNNNNNNNNNNNNNNNNNNNNNNNNNNNNNNNNNNNNNNNNNNNNNNNNNNNNNNNNNNNNNNNNNNNNNNNNNNNNNNNNNNNNNNNNNNNNNNNNNNNNNNNNNNNNNNNNNNNNNNNNNNNNNNNNNNNNNNNNNNNNNNNNNNNNNNNNNNNNNNNNNNNNNNNNNNNNNNNNNNNNNNNNNNNNNNNNNNNNNNNNNNNNNNNNNNNNNNNNNNNNNNNNNNNNNNNNNNNNNNNNNNNNNNNNNNNNNNNNNNNNNNNNNNNNNNNNNNNNNNNNNNNNNNNNNNNNNNNNNNNNNNNNNNNNNNNNNNNNNNNNNNNNNNNNNNNNNNNNNNNNNNNNNNNNNNNNNNNNNNNNNNNNNNNNNNNNNNNNNNNNNNNNNNNNNNNNNNNNNNNNNNNNNNNNNNNNNNNNNNNNNNNNNNNNNNNNNNNNUGAAUGCAACAACCUAAUAGCCUCACGAGAUUUCGAUGUUGAAGUUUUGCUAUAAGUUGAAUCUCAUUCUUGAAUUCCACUAGACCUUGGCCUGAAUGGGCGGAGAGUCUCUUUACUGCUAUCUCAAGCUCAUCCGAUAAUUGGCCCUGUUAUAUGGCAUAGUACGUGCCCAGGUUUUCAAAAUGAAAAAAAAAAUGAACUAAUUUUUUUUCUUCAUCCUAUUUAAGAAAAAGAUAAAUAUAUACUCCUCCAAAGCUGCAGUUAAUAGAAGAAUAUAUAUAUAUAUAUAUAUAUAUAUAUAUAUAUAUAUAUAUAUAUAUAUAUAUUAGGCUGGGGCUACUAUACUCUUAUGAGUAUAUAUAUAUAUAUAUAUAUAUAUAUUAGGCUGGGGCUACUAUACUCUUAUGAGUAUAGACCCUCUUGUACUCAUAAAUUUUUAACCGUUGAUUGAUGGGAUGUGUGGUUAAGAUGAUAGUGGUCGCUACUUAGAAUGGUAGUGGUCCCAUGGGGUUGAGUGGGUAGUUGGUUGAAUAGUAUGAUCUAACGGGUAGAAAUGAUCAAUGGAAUAAAUCUAAGAGCCGAAAAUUAUGAGUAUAAGAGAGCCAAUACUUACAAAAGCAUAGUAGCCGGACUCUAUAUAUGUAUUUAUAUAUAUGAGAGGCUAAUUAUUAUAUAUAUAGAGAGAGCUAGGCUGGAAUACUAGUGAUAGCAAAAUGUCCUUUUUGCUAUCAAGUUUUUAACCCUUGGAUGAGAAAUUGUAGGGUUACGAUGAUAUUAGUCCCAUAGGGUUGAGUGGUCCCUACUGGGUUAUAAUAUUUAAUCCAAUGUUUAGAAAUGAUGAAAGGAAUUGAUCCAAAGGCUAAAAACUUGAUAGCAAAAAAAGCUUUUUGCUAUCUCUCUCUCUCUCUCUCUCUCUCUCUCUCUCUCUCUCUCUAUAUAUAUAUAUAUAUAUAUAUAUAUAUAUAUAGAGAGCGACUACUAUACUCUUAUGAGUACGAUCUCUCUCGUACUUAUAAGUCGUUUUCGAUGAUAGAGUUUCUGAAUCAACGAUCCAUACCGUUAAACGUUAUUUAGAGUAUUUAAAACUUUUAGAAAUCAAAUUUCAUAAUUUUUCUACAUCAUUUAUCUUACGAUCAAAAGGUCACAAAAUUGACAAUUUUUAACAAACGAUAUAUGAUACUUGCUAGUUUAACGGUGUAAAAGAAUCGGAAUCAGUUGAAUUUUUGAUAGAAAAUUCUAUUCACUACCUAAAAAAGAUCAAUAACUCCGAUCUUAAGUUGAAGGAUCCGAUCAUCCAUUUUUAGGACAUCAUUCGAUUUUGACCGUUCAUUUUAUGCCCGCUUGAUGGACUUUAUUAUGAUUUCAAAAAAUUACGAAAUUUAUUUUCUAGAAGUUUCAAAUAGUUUAGAUCAUAUUUAAUAGAGUGGAUCAUCGAUUCGGAAUCUCCAUCAUCUAAAACAACUUAUGAGUACGAAGGUCUCUAUACUCAUAAGAGUAUAGUAGUCCUACUAUAUAUAUAUAUAUCUGUAGGUAGUAUAUUGAACUUUAGCAAAUUGCAAGGUUCUAGUGUGGGAAUAGUAUUUUGAACUAUUCUGGAUGUUUUGAGGGUUGUUCGUAGAGUAUCGACUCGUUUCUAGUGCUUUUAGGAGCAAAGAAAGGUUCCUGAUAUCAAAAUUUGCAAACUGCAGAUUUUAAAGUUGAGUAUCGGUACUAAAGUGUGGGACUAGAACCUUAUAGAGUGCCAAAAUAAGUAGCUCUCGGGUUUUAAGAAACUAGGUUGCGGGCACCGGUACUGAGCUGAGUACCGGUACUACAUCGGGCUUGUAUCGGACGCAGUAUAAACCCAAAUUCCUAAUGUGAGGACUGAGAAUUUUGCUGUAUAGCUAAAUUUUUUGUUGACGAUAUUUUUGUGUGUAAUUCAAGUACAUAAGCAAUCGUCAAGUUUUAGGAGAAAACGAGUUAGGAUGGAGAAGUUACGCGAUCUUUACUAAUCACUUAAAGUGAAUAGUAACACGGGUUUUUCGGAGAGGCCAAUGAGUAGUGAUGGCUUUUGGUGAGUAUCGGACUCCUUUCUUAGUGAUCCAAUAACUCAUUUUUAACUGUCUGACUGUCCUGGACCUAAUGGCACUGACGGAUUUUAGUUUUGACAUACGAUUUUCGAGAAAAAGGAAUUUUAUCGCAAAAUGGGUUUUUGGUUCUUUAUCGUUUUCACUUUUAUAACUUCUCGUGCUUCGUGCGUGUCACGACCCGACACCGCCAAUUUGGACAGUUCGGGCCCUAAACAGACCCGCUGAACGGACAGAGUUUUUCCUGUCCGCCCGAAGCGUAAACAAAGUCUAUGCAUACAUACAUCCAAACAAGAGAUGUUAGCAACAAAACAUUUGCAAGGGAUAUACACAGAUGCGAGAGAAAUAAAGCUAUCUAUUAUAUCACAUAUUCAUAUAUGAACCAUUUGCACAUUUCACUUUAAUUCUCAAUCAUACAACCAAAAUGUCAUCUCACAUAUAUAAACCACUUCCCAAAAAGGGUUUUACAUCUUUUUACAAAGGGUUUUACAUGUCUUUUUUUCUUUCCAUACAUGAGGGUAGUUAGCUAAUGCCGAUAGUCCACUCUAUCUAAGGCUCUAUGCCCUUGCCGCGAUCCUUGACGUGCGCGCUAGUGCUAGGCUCUGCAAAACAGGGUGUGAGAACUAAACAAAGUUCCCAGUGGGUUCGGCGGCCGACCCCGCCGAUUUUUCCACUAGGUCUAAGAAAGGCAUAGAAACAAUAGAUAGAUCACAUGUCAAAGGAAUGAUAGAUAUAACAAGAAGCCUACCCUGCUCAUAUACAUUUAUAUCAUGCUCAAAUGUGUAACUAUGCCUUUACCAAUCAUGUCAACAAGUAUAAGUUCUACCAUGUAUGCAAACUAUAUAUGUAAUGCCAUGACCAUGCCUUGUGCUAAAUCCAAUCGAUUCGCCCAAAGGUCAAACCACUCGCCAUACACACUGUCACAAGACCGUGACGUCUGCCGGGAGGGGCCCCCCGUUUCUCAAUCGCAAAGUGAUACAACUUCGGAGCUCACUGCUUGGGAGGCGCGACCAUCCACAAGCUAUAACAGACAACACGAGUAUAAUCAUAGUCCUCCUGCCCGAGGACCGCGUGAAUCCCACAUCCAAAUCCAUCACAAGGCAUGCUAUGCUCAAAUCGGCCACAUAUGCAAUGGUUUUCAAUUCUCACAAUUUCAUUGGUUCACAUACUAGUUCCUCAUAAAUCUAGUCUACUCUCACAUCAUAUCCACCACAUGCAUAUGUCCACUAGCAACUCAUGCUAUAUGUAUACAUACAUCUAUAUUGGCAUCAUAGAAAGGUUCUCAUGCAACAUACAUGUCCACAUCUAUCUCAACAUCAUGCAAUAGAUAUUCCUACAAGUAUCAUGCAAUCAUGGAUCAUCAUUCCUCACACUAAGCAUGAAAUUACCACAACUUAUAGGAUUCUCACAAUUCCAUACAUGAUGAUAUAUGAUCAAUAAUAGUAGAACUUAGACAUAGAAUGAAACUCGGCUAUUUCAGAUAGCACCCCCCACCUUGUGAUGUUGAUAGGUAGCCUAGCAGCGCGAUUUAUGGCUGUCCAUUUCUUUCGACUGUGGCAAACGAAACAAAACUAGGAUUUUCUUCACUUUGACCACCACCGGCUCAACGGAUUCUCAAUCCGAGCGAUCCUUCGCGUCGGUUUUACCUUCAAUUGCGGAAACAUAGGAUCAAUUGAGAUCGAAACCCCUCAUGAUUAAAAACCCUCUUUUGAAACCCAAAAAACCCUCUUAUUACAUCAAAUCCAAACCUCAUGGUAAGUUAUGCAAUAACAUGGUUUAGAAUCAUCAAGGGUUUCUACUAAACCCAUUCUAAGGGAUUUAUACAAAAACUCUAACUGAAAAUCUCAAAUCUCAUAAAACUCACCUCAAACCCAAGCUCUCCACAAGCCAAUAGUGAAGAGGAAGGAAACUUCACCUCUAAGCAAGCUUCUCUCCAUCAAACUCCACCUUUUGGAGCAAACCUUGGUGAGAGAGAGGGAGAGAGAGGUUUAAAGAGAGAAAGAGAACUCUCUUAUGUUGGUUCAAAUGGAAGGGAAAUGAGAGAAAUGGAGUAAAACCGAUCCAUAUACACUCUCAAUGCACAAAUGCACAUAGCCCCUCACACAAAUAACACUUUGCACCAACUUCACGUUUUCCCAUGUAUGGGGUCCGGACCCUACAUGCAGGGUCCGGAUGUCACGCCCCGGGGUACCCUUUUAGUUUGAAACACAGCAGAAAAGCGUUUAAAUUUUUUUUUUGAAAACCUGACCCCAGAGUAUGCCAGAUUCGCCACAAAUACAGGGAAUCCACUGUUCACACGGACAGAGUCUCCCCUGUAUUUGCACGGCGUCGCACAAGUACAAAAGUACAAACAGUAUACAACCACAACUAAAUGAAUAUGCAGAUAGCUAUACAUUCAUACAUUCACCAUUCACAUCGUAGUUUUACAUUCGUGUUUUAAACAAAAGUCACGAAAAUCUUUUGAAAACUGUUCAUACGCGAAAAUUUUAUCUUUUAUAAAAGCUACCACAGGCGUAGAAAACUUUUAUUUUACCACAAUCCAGAAAUCCUUUUAUUACAUUACUGAAAGUCCCAUAUUCCAAUGUAAUAAAAAUACUGAACCAUAUAACUGACUAAGCUAUACAACAGAAUAGUAGGGAUAAAAAUAACCGAUAACUGGUCGGAAGCUCUAAUCGACCGCUCGAACGUACCUCACGUCUCGUCCCAAAACUCAACGCCUGCAAUACCUGAAAAAUGAUAGGGGAGGUGAGAACAUGUAAACAUGUCUCCACCUCCAGUGGGUACCGCUAGCGACGAGGGCGAGAGUACUCACGCGAUCAGGAAGAUAACAAUAGUAUAUGGGUAAGUGAAAUACAGUAGCAACCGAUAAUGACGACAUGAGAUAUAGAUAUGAGAGAACAACUACGCUACUGUUAAUAGAACGAAAAGCAUACAUACAGGGAUAUCAAACUAUAGUAGCAAGACAAGUGUAAAGAAGGAAUACGCAAGUAUACAUGAACAACCGUACUAUAAUAUAUGCGUCAACCGCGACAAGUAGUCCAAAAGUACCAAUCUAAACCGCGUGUCGGUCUAAGGACCUCAGGCAAAAGCACUACUGCUCACACCUGCAUGUAACCCUAGCACGAGAGAACACCGCUGGGCUCACGGGUUCGGAUGUACGACCACUUUUCGGAAAAGAACACCUCUCUCGGGGGAUCAACCGUGGUGUACGUGAAAUGCACUCGAACUGUGGCGAAUCACAUGGAUAUCGAUCUCUUUNNNNNNNNNNNNNNNNNNNNNNNNNNNNNNNNNNNNNNNNNNNNNNNNNNNNNNNNNNNNNNNNNNNNNNNNNNNNNNNNNNNNNNNNNNNNNNNNNNNNGGACGAGCCGGAUUGGGAAACUUUUGUUCCUGAGGUAUUGGCUAAGGAUAAGGAUACUGCGAAAGGCAAAGGAAAAGAAAAAGCCGUGGAAAAAGGCAAAGGAAAGGCGACUGAGCGUCCCGGCCGUCGUAAGUCCGGGGGUGUUGAUAUUCGAGAACCGGGCUCUGAGCCACCACGUCACAGUCUUCAGGAUGUUCCAUCUAAUCGACGGUCAAUGUACUCGUCGAAACACUGCAUUGGUGAACGGGAUGUUGGGGUGGCCAGUAUCAUUAGUUGUGUGCCGGGUUUUCAGGAUUUAUUUGAGCGGGGAAAUCUUCAUCAGAUUUGUGAUUUCCCGGAGCAAACUGGUUAUUGUUUAGAGUUGAUCAGAGAAUUUUACAUGAGAGCCGGUCAUCUCAGUGACUCCGACGGCGGUCCGUACGUAUUUAAAACUUCCGUACGUGGUGUUGAGUUGUCUAUUACUCCUGAGACAAUAGCUUCGGUGCUAGAGAUGGAGGCAAGGACUGACGGAGUGGAGUAUCUGCAGGCCGGGUUCGACUCACUUCGCGAUUGAAACCGUGUCGUGAACACUAUCUGUAUGCCGGGUACUGAAUCAAACGGCAUUAUGGUUAUGUCAAAGGAUUUCAAAAUGGAGUACAGGUUUCUGAACUUCGUGGUUUGCUAUAAUAUCAUGCCUCUCGCGAACACGAAAAUCGUGAGAUGGGAUCGCAUUCUGUACAUGUAUCUCUUGGGUAGGCCGGAUAUUGUAAGUGCCAAAAAUAUUAACAUGAAUAUUCCGUUUCUGAUUUGGCGGAGAAUGGCAAAAGAUAUCAAGACUUCCGAACAAAAUGAGAGAUUACCAUUUCCUUUGAUAAUUAUGAGGAUUUUGCGACUUCGUGAGGUGGAUGUUCGGUGUACAUCAUACGAGCACAGUUUGGGUCGGAUAAAUGAAAGGACGUUUGUAAAGUCCUCGGUGCAGCUUCGUACGCCGUCUCAGCGUGCUUCUUCCCCUCCUGCAGCUCCACCUCCUGCUACUGCUACUUCUUCUCGUCCUUCUAUGGACAUUUCUGAGGAAGAUAUUUCCGUUUCAUCGGUGUAUCGCGAGCAGCAGCGUCUAUCUGAGGAGCUUCAGAAGUUGUCUGCCGAACAAGCUGCGAUUCGUAAGGAUGUGAGCAAGAUGAAGCGCUUGUUAAAUAUGAUUUUUGACAAAUUAGGAUGUUGUCGGGCAGAUUUACCUCCAGGAGAUGAUUCUGACUAGGAGCUGGCGGGUUUCUCCUUUUGUCAUUUUGGCGCUUUCUGACAAAAAGGGGGAGAUGACGAUAUGAGGGUGAUGAUCAUGAUGAUGAUGAUGAUGCAUGAUGGUCAUGAUGAUGAUGAUGAUGCAUGAUGGUCAUGAUGAUGAUGAUGAUGCACAAUUGUUUUUUGAUCUUGAUGAUGUAUUAGAUGAACUGUGUUAGAUGAACUGUGUUUGACAAACUUUGUUUGACUUAGUGCUUUAGGUUGAUAAGUUAGGCUGUGACUAUGAACUAUGUAUUAUGUCUUGAUAGUUUUCCUAUGGUUUAUUACUUGAAUUUGAAUCUUGCCUGAUUAUGUUUUGAGAAUGUUUUUGCAGGAAUAAUUCAAGACUUCAAGACUCCAUGUCUAAGUCAUAGAGUUUGUAUUAAGGGUGUACGAGUGUAAUUUAUUUUUGGAUUGAUCAUGCAGGAGAUUAUCGUUUGGUGAUUGCGAUGAUCUUCUUUUUAUGAUUUAUUAGUUGUAUACAAGCUUUGUAGUAUAUUUUGUCACGAAAUCGCCAAAGGGGGAGAUUGUUAAGGAUUUUAUAGGUUGGCGAAUUUCGUAAGGUUGUUUGGAGUCUUGAAGAAUUGAUCGCAGAAGUUUUUGAGAAUAGAUUCAAAUUGGAGAACGAAGACUCAUUCGGAAAGCUCGACACCUAAGGUAUGAAGAAAAGGUUAUUUGUGGUGAAGAGAUAUAAUUAGGAUAAGUUCAGAAGGCUUAGAUUGCAUUAAAAUAUUUUUUCUGAAUUUUCAUGUGUUCUGGGACUGGUCUCUGAGAUUGAGAGACCGGUUCCCUUAAGGUCCUCACUGCGUAAACUGUGAUGCAACCGGUCCCCUGUGAUGAGAGACCGGUUCCCGAACCAUGGUGCUUCUGUCGCGCAGCGAGGGACCGGUCUCGAAGUUUGAGAGAUCGCCGCUUCCCGAACGUUGGGUUUUGGUCACGCCAGAGGAGCGGACCGAGAUUCCUCACUGGAGAGGGGGGGGGGGACCGCGUCUCUCCCAGACCCGGUCUCCUCUAGAAACCGGUCUCUGAGGACGACACAGGUUUUUAAAAAACGACUUUUUGCAAUUCCUAGUCUACUUCUAAGUCUUCUAAACAUAUAAAUAAGCUAUGUGGUCAUCUAAAAUUAAGGCUUUGAAUAUUUACCAAUAAACCCUAGAAACUUAAUUCUCUCCGCGUUCAAUGCUUAGAUGAGUUUCUAGCGAUUGACAUCGGUCUGAUUCUUCGUUGUUACUUCAAAUAAUUCUUACGAGAAUCAAGUAAUGUUUGAUAAAAGGUGAACUCCCCAUAGCUUAUGGUUUUCAAAGUUAAAUCACCACAAAUCUUCGAUUCUACAAGCUCCGGAAGGAGGUUCGGCACGUGGAUAUCGUGUGAACGAGGUUCGGUGGACACUUCGAGGAGUGGGCGUUGACGCUGCGAGGAGUUGCAGCAAGGUCGAUUGGUGGAUUCCUAUCGAUCGAGGACCGGCAAAGAUCACCAUCGACGAGAAUCGCGUUAAAUUGAGUCGUGUGUUUUUGUCGAUAAUCACUUGUACUCAAGUUUUCUUAGUGGAUUUUCUUUGUAUGGUGUCGGUGUCCCGUGGGUUUUUUCACUCCAAAUUGGAGUUUUCCCACGUUAAAUUCUCGGUGUGCUCGUUUUAAUUUUCGCUAUUUUGUUUUGUUUGCAUCGAAGAUUUUUCGAGUUGCCGGAUUUACACCUAUUCCCCCCCUCUAGGUUUACUUACCUUUUAGAUGCUCGGGAUCUAUAUCUCACACCCCUGGCGUUGAACAGACUUCGCCUUGUUGCGUACUACGCCAAUAAGCGCGGGCCAUUUGUUCCCUAAGCUCUUCCGUUGCCACUUGCUCCGGAUUGGCUCGCGGCACCGCAUUCGCUCCUCCGGCAUCGACCUUGCCUCGAUCGACGUCGAGGUGCCAUUGCUUCCUGAAAGAAGCAACUCGCAUUAGUCACUUGACCAAACAUUACUUGACCAUAUACCCAAUUAGGCGAAAGCCAACAUGCACAUUACAUCCUUACUCAAGCGUCUGUCGUCGGCCGCCCGACACAACACUAGAUAGGAGGAUAAACGAAUAUUAAACGAGCCUCUAAUCACGUUAGAGACGCCCCUACUUAACCAAUCACAUGCUUUCGCUAUCUGAUCCCACGCACUCACGUUUCUAGAUCCUUAAGGUCUUCCAAUCCUAAGGUCUCUAGGUCCAUUUCCUAUUCUUCACUAUUUCGCUCUGAUACCAAGAUAUCUGUCACGCCGCGGACGAUUACCAAAUUUUGGCCCGACCCGAGCACGUCAAACAGACGCGAACGGACAGAGUUUCCCCUAUCCGCCCAAGGCUCAUCACAUGUACAAAUUCAAACAAGAAAUGCACUAACGGAAACAUACACAAACGGCUACACCGAGGGUAAGCAAUAGCCAUUAGUGAAAGAAAGCGAAACUAAACAUCUACACAAGUAACAUGAUUCAUUUUAGAUCUAUACAUUGCAUCCAUUCUUACAUUUAGGAUUCUUUGCAUUUCAUUACAUCAUUUCAUUAUUUCUUUUUUUACAUCACAUACCUCAAGAUAAGCUUUGCAUUCUUCUUUUACAUUACUAGUCAUCAUAUACAGAAGAUGAACAUAGGUAGCUACUAACAAAAUGUAAACCCAACUCAACUUGUGGUGGCCUCUUGUCUAAGGCGCGAUACCUUUACUCGCGUCACUCGCGGCUCGCUCGCGUCCCGGCUCUGUGGAAUAUGAUGGGGUGAGAACUACAACAAAAUUCCCAGUGGGUUCGGUCUCAACAUCAACGACUUAUCCCACUUAGGACCUAACUCAGGCAUAAUAGAAAGGAUAAGCUGAAAUAUAGUAACCAAUCUACAACAUGAUACUAAUAUGCCUGAACAAAAGCAAGGAAUAUGCUCAACAUUAAACAUAUGCAGAUUAUGCAAGUUCUUUGUUCUUUUCAUAUUACUCUUUGUUCUUUAUUCUUUGCUCUUUGUUCUUUAUUCUUUGCUCUUUGUUCUUUAUUCUUUAUUCUUUAAUCUCAAGGCUAACCCGGGGGUUUCGCCACAUUAACUUGCUUCACAUUAAGUCCAUCAUCGCAGGAACUCACCCGCUAGGACCGUCCUUCGGGUUUACUCCAACCCGUGAUGCAUAACUCUGGAGCGCAUCGCCCGAGGGGGAGCGACCGCCCUCGAGCACGGAACUCAUAGCAAAUAUGAUCAUAUCCUUAACUCAAAGGAUUUAUAAAUUCAAUCUUGACUUUACACUAGCUCUAGUGUUCUUUCUUUCACUUUAUGUUGCCGCUCUAGCAAUCGUUGUUCUUUACUUUUUCUUUUACUUUUGCUAACUCUAGCAAUUAUAUUCUUUACAUUCUUUACUUUUGGCUACCUCUAGCACUUCGUGUUCUUUACUCCCCACAUUACCUUAACUUUAGACAUUAUCAUUUUCAUCAUUCUUUACGUCACGUUAGUUCUUUGCAUCACACUAACUCUAGUGUUCUUUCUUUACAUUUUCAAAUGCCACUCGAUCUAUGUCAUAGUGUUACUCUGUUCUUUUGCUCACUUUAGGUGCUCACUUUUCUCUCAUGCAUACACAUAGGGUUUUUGUCGUUUACAUAGUUCUCAUUCGUCAUAUCUUGCAAGUUGUACUCACAAUCAUGCAUUAUUACAUUUUCAUCAUUACUUUACCCUAAAAUGCAUGCAACAAUAUAUUUACACAUGCUCAAAUGAAUGACACAUUAGGCAUAGAGAGAAGUUCAAUGAGUUUGAGAAGCACCACCCACCUCGUAGGCUUUCAAAGGUGCUCCGAUGAUUUUCUUGGGAUUUUUAGACUCUUCGUUCUUUACCUGCGGCAUAACGAAGCCAAAUUAGGCUUAUUUGGCCAUAUCUUUACAUCGGCCUUUCGUAACGCUAAUCCGAGCGUACCAACGCGUCGGAAAUACCCCCAAUUAGGUUUCUAGAGGGUCAAUUGCACUUAGAAACCCUCAUGGGCAAAAGCCCCAAUUUGGGUGCCCUAGCUCCAAUGCAUGUGCAAACCUAGGGUUUGAUCUCAUUGGGAAGCAAAAGUAGCUUCCUUAUACUCUAAAUAGUUCAUUAGAACCAUUCUUAGGCCUUCCAGAACCCUAGAAUAGAUUUCACCAUUAGAGGUGGGUUGAAGCUCACCUUGAGCUCAACCAUGGUUUUGAUCUUUAAAGAAGCAAAAAGAAAGCUUCAAACUACUAGAUAUUCCCUUAGAAUCCAUUUCUAGGUUCAUUCAAACCCAUUUCUAGGGUUUUACUACAUUAGGGUUCAAAGCUUACCUUGUAAGCUUCCUUUUCUUGUACUAGAGAGGAAGAAGAUGAAGCUCCUUUGCUCCUUGAUCUUCUCCUUCACCUUCUUUUCCUUCUUUUUCUUCCUUUCUUUCUUUCUUCUUCUUCCCCUUUGUCUUCUAGAGAGAGAGAGGGAGAGAAGAGAGUGUGAGAGGGUGAGGAAAUGAGAGAAAAUCUCAUUAGGCCCCAUAACAUAGCUAUUGGGUUGCCAAAAUGCAACUAAACCCCUCAACUUUUACUUUAAUACACUGCUCGAACUGGGCAGUUCGCGCAGCCGGGGACCGGUCUCUCCUUCAGGGACCGGUUCCCGAAGGGUCUCCCCGCGCAGCCAGAGCUGCUGCGCGCAGGGCAACCGGUCUCUCUUAGGGGGACCGGUCUCUCGGGGACCGGUCUCUCGGACAGGGACCGGUUCCCGAGAGCUACUUUCUCCGGACUUAGCCAAUUUUUCGGCUGUCUCAUUUCAUAUGCGUUCGGGAACCGGUCUCUCCCACCAGGGACCGGUCCCCGAGAGCUGAAAAUUUGCAAUUUUGCAGAAUUUGAUUCUUUAGCUCUCGAAAACCUUCCACAACACACUUUUGAUCGUUUUAACACCUUCGGACUUUCCGAAGUGUACCGUCCUCGCACUUUGGUCAAUUUGACUAAAGUUCGAUAUUUACUUUCCGAAUUUUCGGUAUAUUACACUUCAGCCACACAAGGGAACAUGAGAAGGGUGAAGGGAUAUUAUACAAGUUGUAACAAUAUCCCUGGAAGUCCCUCAAAAACUCAGAAAUUAUAAACUGUACGAAACAAUCUCUACAGCAUUGAGUACCGAUACACGAAUUUGAGUAUCGGUAUUCGAGUAGUUCCAGUACUUGAUGGUCAAUUCUGUAAAAUCCGAACGUUAGUGUAACACACUAGACCUUUGCAAAUUGCGAGGUUCGAGUGUUUGAUCUGUGUUUCGAGUUUUUUCAGAUAUUCUGGAAAGUCGUUGACAGUGUUUCGACUUAUGGCUCGCAUCCCGAGAAUGAAGGUUUAAAACUGUGCACCAAAACUCAAAAAGUUGAAUUUUUGGUCUGCUCUCGGGUUAGCUUCUGCAGGGUUGUGUACCGAUACAGCCUUGAUGUUUGUACCGGAACACAUUUUGUACCGGUACACCUUGAUGGUUGUACCGGUACAGAUGUGGUUUUCUGCCAACCCGAGCCUCGGGUUUGCGCGUACAGGGUUUUGUACCGGUACACUUUUCCGUGUACCGGUACACUUUGCCAGAUUUCAAAAUGGCAGUUUUUGAGGGGUGUUUUUGGAAUUGUAUCAACUCUAUAAUAUACCCCACGACCCCUGGUGUUCCCUGAGCUUGGAGGCAGUGGAGAAGAAGGUAAGGGAGCUCUCCCCUUCCCCUCUUUCUUUUCCUUUCAUUUUAUGUGGGAUUUUGAGGUUUAAUCUCUCAUUUUGCUCCCUUUUUGCAUCUUGGUGGCUUUUCCACCAUGGGUGAAGGUUUGAGGCUUGGUUGGGAACUUGUUGGAGGGAUCAUUCUCAGCCUUAGCUCAUUUUGGGCCUUGUUUGGAACUUCUUGAAAGGUUAGUAGCUUACUACUUCUCUUUUGAUCAUGUUUUGCAUGAUUGUUGUAUUGAAACCCUAGAAAUGAGGUUUUAGGGUUGGAUUUGGGCAUUUUGGAUUUAGGACUUUUGGAGCUUGAUUUCUUGGAUUAGAAUCUUCCUCUAGAUUGGAUUGGAAGGGUUCUAGCUCCCUUUUGGAGAUCAAGAGAGACUAUCACCAUCUUAGGUGAGUUUUGGCCCUUUUGUUGAGUGGGUUAAUGUUUAACCUAUUUGUUAUUCGUAACGUUCGUGUAACGCUCCUAAUUUAACCUUUAGGGAGCUAGGAGGCUUGUGUGCACCUUCGUCGGCGCAAACGAAGGGUUGCAAGGAGACUUGGUGGGUUUGACCUCACCAAAACGGGAUAAAUCAUCUCUAUGAUGGUUUGUACUUAUCGUAAAAUGAAAAUGCAUGCAUAUUCAUGCUAGAUAGAAUAUUUGAGAAUUUUAGAAUUCUUAAAAGGCACAUGUUAUGUAUAAUGUAUUUUUGGACCUCUAUAUAGUAGAGAGUUUGCAUGUUGGGCUUAGACCUAUGUGUAAGAUACCAGACUUCUAAAAUUAUGAAGUUACGGUGGAUGUAGUAUGUUGGAUUUUUAAUAUAAAAAUAAAUAUAAAAAAAAAAAAAAAUAGUAUGAGAUACUAUUUUAUUGGAUUUAGAGAAGUGAAAUAUAGGUUGGGAAUGACCUGUGCUGAAAUCGGAGCGAAAACAGAAGAUUUAGAAUUUUCUGUGUGAAACGGGGCAGAUAAAUUAGCAGAAAAUGCACAGUGUCAGAAAAUUCUGAAAACUGGACGAUAAGCCAGAAUUAUUCUNUCUUUAUUUCACUCGUAUGUUACUUGUGAUUCUUGCUCUUAAUUGUAUAGCACUUGUAGUGCUCGUUGUAUCAUGUAUGUUAUUGAAUUUCUCCUGGGCAAAUUCUUGUACAUGAUAUGGUUGUUGAGCCUUGGGCGGACAGGGGAGGUGCUGUCCGUUCGGCGGUCCGCUUGCCGCCCUCGAACCGAACCAAAUUGGUAGCGAUCUCGGGGCGGGGCGUGACACUAUGGAUAGCACUCCUAUGUGUGGAAUUGGAUCAUGUUUCAUAUAGUGAAAAUGACAAGUGCAAUGCAUUCUUGGACUUAGAAUUCUUGGACUUAGAAUUCUUAGACUUAGACUCAUCAUUGGAAUAGUAAGCUAAUGUCAUAAAGAGACAUUGGGCUUGGAAUUGGUAUAGUAAGCUAAUGUCAUAAAGAGAUAUUGGGCUUGGAAUUGGUAUAGUAAGUUAAUGUCAUAAAGGGGCAUUGGGCUUGGAAUUGGUAUAGUAAGCUAAUGUCAUAAAGAGACAUUUGGGCCUGAAAUUGGUAUAGUAAGCUAAUGUCAUAAAGGGGUAUUAGGCUUGGAAUUGGUAUAGUAAGCUAAUGUCAUAAAGAGACAUUGGGCUCGAAAUUGGACUUAGCAAGCUAAUGUCAUAAAGGAGCAUUAGGCUUGGAAUAUGUGCGGACUUAGUAAACCUAAUGUCAUGAAGUGGCAUUAGUCUUGGAACAAGACUUGGGCUUAGCGAGAUAUAACGCCAUAAAGGGGCAUUGGACAUAAUGAAUGGUUAAACCUUCACUUGGGACAUUGGACUAGAUCUAUGGGUUGCUAGCGAUCAUUUCCAUGGUUGAGCCAUGAUGACGGGAUCGUUGUGACGAUGACUAUACUUGCUUGCCAUCUGUGCUCAUUCGCACAUGCUUGUGAGGAUCGCUCCCUACAAGCCGGCACUCCGGAGUUAGCUUAUGCCACUUAUGAUCGCUCGUGCGGUAUUGAGAAGCCUACGAGGGCCUGGAGGGUUAGACUCAUUACUCGAGGGGGAAUGCUGGAGCUACCACUAGCACUUAGGCGGCACAAGCUGGACUACCUUGUGUAGGUCCUUAAUUGGAAAUGAAAAUCAACACGAAGUCAUUUAUGUAAUAAUCACUACUUGAUAGUAUAUCGUAGUUGGAUUCAUUGGACAUUGGGAUAUAUAGUAUACUUGGUCGUUAUGAUAGUGCAUACUAGAUAUGUAUUGGACACUUGGACAUGUAGUAUACUUGAUAGUAUUGCUUAUUGCAUUUUAGUAUACUUGGGUGCCGAGCAUACUAGACAUGUUUUGGCAUAUUGGAUCAUGAUAGAGUAGAUGUACUCCAUGUUCAUAUCAUGUAUACUUGUGGCAUAGUAGAAUAGCAUUUUAUUAUAUGCUUUUCUUUCUACAGUUAUUUCAGUUAUUCAUAUCUGCUCAUGUUUUGGGCCUAGUGGUGCAUUUUGCUAAAGGUCAGUAAUUGCCCAUUGGGAACUAUAAAUUAUAGUUCUCACGCCCCCUGUUUUAUGUUUUCUUACAGAGCCUUCCACUCCGGGAGAGGCUCGGGAUCGCGGGAAAGAAAUCGCCUCAGGCUAGCUAGCGAGGGAUUUGUCGAUAGGUGGUCUGCCUCUCUCUUUUUUUCUUUUUUUUUUUAAGAGGUUGAGAGAUUUGUACCAUUUUAUAGAGACCACCCAUUAUAUGUAUCUUGAGACUUGGGUUGUAUUAUCUUACUUUUUACUUUAGUGGUUUAGUCUCUUUUGAUUCUACUUGUUGAUAGAACCUAGUUAUAUAUUCGCUCUGAUAUCUCUAGAUGUUUGUAUUAAGUUUAUUUAUCGCUUUUGUUGUAGACGCCUUAUAUGUGCAGGCAUAUGGAGGGUCUGGGCACGCACUGGGCGGGCCUACGCCGGGCCCCGGGGCGUGACAGUUAGAAAUUUCAAUUUCUAUUGCAUUCCGGUAUCUGCCCGAUGUAGUAUCGGUACUCGGUUCAGUACCGAUACACACAGCCGAGUUCCACAAAACCCGAGAGCUGUUCAAAUCUGCACUCUACUGAGUUCCGGUACCUCGUAUCCAGUACUGGUACUCAACACAAAAACUGUAGUUUUAUAGAUUUUGGUGUCAAAAUCCGUUCUCGCGCUCAUUAAGCUCCAAAAACAAGCAUAUACUCUCGAAACAUCAACCAAAACUUCCAGAAUAAUUCAAAAUACUAUUCUCACACUAAAACCCUACAAUUUGCUAAAGUUCAGUGUGCUACAUGUACACUCAAUCACCUCAUGUUACAAAACUCUCUCUUUUGGAGGUAUCACCGAUGACACCUUUAAACUUGUCUGGCAAAGCUGCACCACUCCGAGAACUAAAGUCUUUAAUUAUGUGAUUACUUUGUUGCAAUAACAUUCUAACAGCGAAAAAUUUGGCAAAAAGAAAUUGGUCGCGACCACUAGUGUGCAUGCUAUGUUUAGCAGACUCAGAAACCACUACGCACCUAUUCUUUUGAUGCACCUUCGAGACUGAAGUAUGGAGAAUCUGUUGUACAAUAAGCAAUGCCCCACGACCACACUACUACAACCGUGGGAAAAUAAUAUUGAUUCAAUUUGGAAGGCGAUGAGGAAUGCAUUGGACAAAGAUAAUCGAUCGAAAUGGGACACUUCAUUUGCUACUGCCAGAAGCUAUGGAAGGAGCGAAACAAUCGCAUAGUUAGAAACAAAUGUAGGAAUCAAAAUCAGCUUGGCAAUUUCAUUGCUGAAACACCCAACGUUUGGUAUAGGACUUUCAACCAAAGCUAUCCUUCGCCACAUGGAAACUUAUAGAAAGACACAAGUAAUUUAGUUCUUGCAGAUACCGAGUGAAACACAAGAAAGCAAACUAUAAACGCACUUCUUUUUAAACUUUUAUUUAUUUUAUUUUACUUCUAUUUUUUAAAAUUUAAAUUUUUCUCUUUUUGUUUUCUCUCUCUCUCUCUCUCCUAUAUCCUUUUUCUUACCUUUUAAAUGAAAUGAUAUGUUCUCGUCUUACUUCAAAAAAAAAAAAAAAAACUACUGCACAAAUAUGAAGUGCAAUACUGAUGGAUUUCAAAUAAGAGAUUUAUGUAUCCAAAUGGAACCUAGAUGGUACAGCAGGAAUGCGUGCCUACCACUAUCCCUAUUUUUAACCGGCGACCCAACAAGGCCUUGAUAUUUCUAGACUAGAAGCCACAAUCUAUUGACCUGCACAUUGAAAGGAGAUUUCGCAAACGCAUGAUGAAUUACAGGAUCUUAUGCGUAAUUGCCAUCCAGUUUUAAGCUGACACGUUUUACCAAAUGAUACCUGAUCUGUCGCGACAUCCAUGGAACAGAGAAUUAGCCAACAAAACACGAAUCCACACGGACACAACUUAACCUAGAUGAUGGCUAUACGAAUUAGGAGAUCGUAACCAAAUGCCCCGUUUUACGUCUCUCUCUCUCUCUCUCUCUCUCUCUCUCUCUCUCUAUAUAUAUAUAUAUAUAUAAAUAAAACACCAUAGAAUCCAAAAAAAUAUAAAAAAUCUUAUUGGAUAGUGAUCAUGAGCACUAUGCUUAGAGCUAAGGUUGCUUACUUACCAUGGGCGACUCGUAUAAAUUGAAGAAACACUGGCCGUUUAAAAUGUUAAAUACAAGUUCACAUUUAAAAAUAUAAUAGCCAGAAAAUUAGAAUCAACGUACCAAGGAAAAUAUAAUUUACAAGAGAGCUGUCCCUUACAAGUACUAACGGCUUCAGUUACAUUCAAAUACCUCUUUCACCCUUUCCUAUGAUGCAUCCUCAAGCGUCAUAUCUUGAGAAUCACAACCUUAAUACGUAAUGAAACAGAAGAACAAGGAAAGGAAAAAAAAAAAAAAAGAAAAAAAAAAAAGAGAAGAAGAAAAGAAUAGAAAAGAAAAGAGAAGAAAAGAAAAACCUCACUCAGCAGUCAGCACUUUGAUGGGGGCUUGGGUAGAACAAACAUAUGCUCACGGCACGGGCAACAGUAUCUGGCUAAAAAACGACAAAAUAAACAAGACGCUGCUGCAGCAGAUGUUCCAAGCCUCGCAUUUCACCCUUUGUACCUUCGAAGCCCACUUGGUUAACUACAGCUGGUGAGGAUUUCGAACUCCAGUUGGACUGGGAAGAUUGCUCAUGCUUGCUGUCCUAAGGAGUUUGCGGAAUUCGUACAGACUAAUCUUCCCGUCUUUGUCGAUGUCAGCCUCUUCUAACAGCGGCUCAAUAGAACCCUUUAACCCAGUGUGCUGCACAGCCAAAACAGAUAUAUGAGAAGACAGUUCUGCUAAUUUAGUAGUACUCUUACGAUUUAUUUUCAGAUAUAGUGAGUCCGUGUUUCUUAAAGAAAAAAAAAGAAAAAAAAAAGAAAAUUAAAAUAAGAACUCAAUCAGACAUCUAACAAACAAAAACCACACUGGAGAGAUGAGUUACCAAUCUAAGUUCCUCGGGCGUGAUAUACCCAUCUCCAUCCAAAUCGAAUUUAUCAAAAGCAGCCUGGCAACGGAGAUGCCACUUUUCAGAAUCAUGCUCGGCCAUCUGGUGAACGUGUAAAGUUGCCGUCACGAAUUCUUUGAAGUCCACAAGCCCAUCCGUGUUGCUGUCAAUCUGCCAUUAUUUUGAGAAACUUUUUACCAUUUUGUGAGCAGUGUUAACAAAAUUGUUAUACUUAGUUAUAAGCAAAUUCAAGGACUUUUUUUUUUUUUUUUUUUUCAUUUAGCACCUUAUAUUUUUCUUUUCCAAAUGAGCCCUACAAAUUUAAAAUAUUUGCAGGAAUGAUCCUUUCCUUCUUACGCAAGUGCCAAGCUAGACAGGUAAGUUGAACACGGUAAUUCAUUUACUGCAUUCAAAUAUGAUAAAUGAAUAACCGUGUUCUCUUUGACUUAAUCCGCAUGCUGCAAAGGCAAAGAGAACACGAUAGUCCGCAUGCUGUUAAGGCAAAGCGAACACGAUGAUUCAAUUACCAUGUUAAUAAGAUAAAUGAAUUACUGUGUUCAACUUUAAAUUCCGAUACAACAGCCGCAUGGUAAGGAGAGGAUCAUUCCUGUAAGCAUAAAUUUGUAGGGUCUAUUUGCCAAAAAUAAAAAAAUUAAGAGGCGGCUAAAGGCCAAAAAAGCCCCAAAUUCAAUGUCCACAAUUCUUUGCUUUUCUUCCUUCCUUUUUCUUUUUCUUUUUUUUUUUCUAACCAACCUUAGUCAAAGGUUAUAUACAUACGCGUGUGUGUAUAUAUAGAUAUGUAUGUAUGUAUAGAUAUGUAUGUAUAUAUAGAUAUGUAUGUAUAGUUGGGCUAGAAUACUAUCACCAGUAAACGGACUUCGUUGCUAUCGAUUUGUUUUUUAUGAUAAAGUCUCAAAAAAUCGAUAAUCAACAUCAUUGAACAUGAUCUAGACGACUUAAAGAUUUAAAAAUCAAAUUUUAUGUUUUUUCGACACCACUGACCUAAUGACCAAAGGAUUGCAAAGUUUAUAAUUUUAAUGGUUGAUACAAUGCAUUUGCUCGUUUAACGGUGUAAAAGAAUUCAAAUCAAUUAAAUUUUUGCUUAAAAAUUCUUUGAAAUAUGUAAAACAAGGUCUACACUCUUGAUCUUGAUUAAGAAAUUCCUAUCAUCACUUUUGAACAAUAUUUAUUUUCAGUCUUUCAUUUUUCUGCCCACUUGAUGCACAAGAUAAUAUCGGAAUAAUAUGAUAUUCGACUUUUAGAUAUUUCAAAUGAACUAGAUCAUGAUCAACAGUGCCGAUCGUCGAUCCGAAAACUUAUUAUCGAAAACAAAUUGGUAGCAACGGAGCCCGUUUGCUAGCAUUAGUAUUCUAGCUCAACUCUCUCUCUCUCUCUAAAUAUACAACAAACAUAUGCACAUAUACAGAUAUGUACUAGUGUGUAUAUAUAUACACACUAGUUAAGUGUAAUGCAAAUGAGUGUCACAAUUAUUUCAAUAGUUAUUUCAAAUCAAUAUAAAUUUGUGCAUCAUAUUGAUCCAAAAAAAUAAAUUUUCAAAUAAAUAAAAUUCAUCUUUUCUAUUUUAUUAGAAAAUAUAUGCCAUAUCCGAAUUCAAAUUUAAAUGGUUGCUGUUUACAAUAGUUAUAUAGUUCUAUUUUCUCUUUUAUAUACAUUGGAUAUUUCAGUAUGUUUUUCGAAUUUUGACAAAUCCAAAAUUUAAGCAUGUGUUUUAAACUAAAUUUAAUGAAAUUUUAAUUCAUUUUCAAUUCAAAAUAAAAAAUUUAAUUUUAAUCCACUUUAAAAAUAUUUUUAAUUUUUCAUUCAAAUUUGAUAUCCAAAAUUAAAUUUAAUUCACGACUUAAAUUUUAAAUUUAACUUAAAUUUAAAAAUUCAAAAUUUUAAAUUUAAAUUUCAUAAUUAAAUUUCAUCUCUAAAUUUAAGAUAAAAUAUGAAUUUAAAAUCAAAUAAGAUUAAAAUUUAAAUAUAUAUUGAAAUUCAAUUCAAAUUUGAUUGUUGGUUGCAAAUAACAAAAAGUCAAUAUAACAACUAAAUAUUAGUAGAUAGUAUUGAGAUAAUCUGAAAAUAUUCACCUAAAAGGAAAAAACAUGAAAUAAUAUAGAAAUAUUUAAUUAAAAAAUAAGGUUAUCCGUAAGAGAAGAAUAAAAAUUAAAAGGUUGUUUUAUUAUAUUCUUUGUUCGCGUAAGAAAAGAGAGGAAUCGAAAUUCUUUUUUUGUCAAAAAGUGGGUCUGUCGAUAGACCCAAAUUCAAAAUAGGUGCUAACAUAUUAAACAGAUAUAUGUAUAGAGAGAGAGAGAGAGAGAGAGAGAGAGAGAGAGCUAGGCUCCUAUACUAUCUAUAGUACUAAAGCUCCGGUACUAGUCUCAUUUUUAAUCUUAGGGUAUUCAAAUCAACGAUCUACACCGUUAAAACUAAUAUAGAGUAUUUGAAGUUUUUAGAAAUAAAAUUUAUAUCUUUUCGACAUAGUUUACUUUAUGAUCAAAGCAUUUCAAACUUGUCAAUUUUCAAUGGUUACUAUGACAAGUUUGUAGUUUAGCGGUGUAAAAAAAUCUAAAUUUAUUCAAAUUUUGAUAGAAAGUACUUUAAACUAUCUAGAUCAAGGUCAGCAUUCUUGAUCUUGAAUACAAAAGUCCUAUCUUCAAAUUUUAAAGAUUGUUCAAUUUUCAUUGUUCAUUUUGACAUGAUUUACUUAUUACGAUGUUGAAAAAGAAUAAAAUUUUAUUCCUAAAAACAUCAUAUACCCUAGAUCAUAUUUGACGGUUUGGAUCGUUGAUUUGAACACCCUAAGAUUGAAAACGAGACUAUAGUACCGCAGCUCCGGUACUAUAGAUAGUAUAGUAGUCUCAUUCUAUAUAUAUAUAUAUAUAUAUAUAUAUAUAUAUGUAUUUGUGUAUAUGUAUAAAGAUAAAAAAUAGUUGUAUUGUGCAUCCAUGAGUUAAUGUGGGAGGACUGAGAUUUUUCUUAUAUAAAUUUGACGUCUUUUUAAAUAUUAUCGUGUGUAUUUUAAUUUUAAACUUGCCCGUCAAAUUUCAGCAAAAAAUGAUUUAAAAUAAAGAUUUUACCCGAUUAUUCCUUUUCACUUAAAGUGAAUAGUAACCUGCGUUUCCGGUUGUGACCGAGGAGAGAGGUAGGGAACGCGAAUUGGACUCCAUUUUGGACGAUUCGAUAGCUUACUUUCGAUGGUCCGACUGUGCCAGAGCCGACGACAUUGAUGGAUUUUAUGUUCGACACACGAUUUUCGAGAAAACAACUUUUAUCGCUGGGAGGGCAUUUAUUCCGCGUUGUUCUUGCCUUUUAAGAGCAAUCGGUGCUCUAUUUUGUGUGAAAACUUACGAGCGGGGGUCUUUCUACGAGAGAGAGAUAUUGGAGAGGGACUGGUUCAUCAAUUUGAAGCCUUGAAGAACUUUGGAGCAAUUAUACCCUAUGAAUAGUGGUAUAUAGGAUUAGAAUGUGGAUUUGGGGAUUUUAGAACCCAAAACCCUAGACCCCAACCCUCCUCUCCUUCUUCUCCACCUGAGAGGUCAGCCACCGCAGCCGUUGCUGUCGUCGGCCACUAAAGAAGAAGAAAAGCCUUUCUUCUUCUUUCUCUUCCUCUUUCUCUCCAACAUUGAGAGGUGUGAAGCGAGGAGCUCGAGCACCCUUAUAACCGUGCCGCCGUCCACCGGGACAGCCGCUGCCGUCCUCCCGCGACCCUCCCCUAGUUGCCCCUGGCGCCGUUGUGCAUCAGGGAGUCGCCGCGGCUGAGGUGGAGCUCCAUGGUGCAUUUGCAGCCGGCCGCUGCCGCCGUGCUGCACCGCCACAGAGCGACGCUAGAGGUCCCAAGGAGUCCACCGGUGCCGCCCCUUGCAGUCCCUACCCGCCGCCGCAGCGAUCCAUGAUGCUCUGGCCACGGGUUCUCACGGGAUUGCCGCAGCCGCCGCUGCCGCUACCUCCUGCCGCUGGCCAAGGGUCCCGGCCGACUGCCCUGGUUGCGGAGACCCUCCCCUGGCCGAGGCUCCCUGUGCUGUGCCGUCGGCCGUCAAUCCCGUGAUGCCCUAGCCCUACAAGGAGGGUACCUAGGUAGAAUCCAGGGAUUGCCUUGGCCGAGCUCCAUUUUUCGGCCACCGGAAAGUUCGGCAAGCACCCGAGACAUGAGCACUGCUCCUGGGAUCAUGUGGAGUCCCGUGCUCACCUUAGCUGCGAUCAAUGAAGCUCCGAUGUGCGCGUGGGAGUCGAUUGCUUCCGGGAGUGAGCCAUUGGAGGGGUUUUUCUACUAUUUUGAAGCCUUCCGGCCGUCGAUUGCGCUCCGAACAGCAAACACGAGCAUCAUGUCGAGACGAAUCAAAUCGACUAGUUGGUUGGAUCCAUUGCGACACGGAUCAGGGUAACGAGCUCGAAACUCACGUUUAUGUAUUAUUUGUAUAGUAAUUAAUGCUAUAAUGGGUUAUUUGCAAGUUGUAUGCAAUGGAACCCCGCGCACAGCCUCGGACAGCAUGUAAUCGUUAACGACCCCUUGACUGAUCGUCAAAGGUCCGGGAGCCGUUGCGGAGUGAAAACGGGGUCCCGCGGCGUCAUUUGGCAAAAAUUCACCCCGAUCGGACGCGGUUCAAUUUGCAGUUUCCUCACAUUAGUAAUUCGAAUGUCCUAGAGACCCUGCCAAGCCUUGUUGGCUGGUUGUUACCGCCACCUUUGAAGACUGGAGGCAGUGGAUGAGCGACAGAGGGGUUUCAGUGUGUUUUCUGGUGAAAUCGCUGAUAGAACGCGAUUUCGCGUCGCGAUGAGUUUCCGGCUGCUUGGUCGCCCCGAAAAUCAUCGCCUAGCCUCGUUGGCUGGCCGCCGGGGUCAUCUCGUGUGUUUGGAGGCGAUAGGUGAGCGACGAAGGCUUCCCAUGCCAAAGUAGACACUUUUGAAAGCCCGGAGCAAAACAGUCGACUGGGGACGAUCGAGUUGACCUUGGUUCUUGUGUUUUCUGCCCGAACACUCAAAUGAAUGUGUUUCAGGGUAGCGGAUGAUUCAUGGCAUGAGUCGGUGUGUUUCGAAACUUUUCGUGGGUCUCGCGGGCAUCCUGGUGCGUUUUUGGGAUUCCCGGCAAGUUUGAAAAUCGAUUUUGGAAAACCAACCCCGCAUGUGGUUUUGGGUUUGAGAGCGAUGUCUUUUGAGUAUGUAGGUUUGGUUUCUAACUCGGUGGACCUGUCGUAGGUCCAGUCGACGGUUCUGCACACCGCAGGAGCUAGAUGCAGUUGCGACACAGGUUGGUAUUUUGAUCUGAAGUCGGUUCAGUAAUGCACGCUCAAUGAUGUUUCCUCCACCCUUUCCUGUUACUUCCGGCAUAUAUCUUAUACUCGAGCCUUACACCACAUGAAUUCGACUCUAGCUCUACUUAGCAUACUCCUCUCUUGUUUGCUAUGACAUAGAAGUAGAGCGAUAGAGGUUGCUUAUACAUGAUCGUAUACAUCAUUGUUGACCUGAGUGGUCGGUUCCCGUAGACGCAUCAUUGUUUACCUAAGUGAUCGGUUCUUGUGUAUACCCCAUUGUUGACCUGAGUGAUCGGCUCUCUUGAAUACAUCCUAGAUGACCAGAGUGGUCAGUUCCUUUAUACUCUUGUCAUUGUUGACCUCGUACUUUCAUGUAGACCUGAGAAGUCGGUACUUGCAUACUUGUGAGGAUGUUGACCUUGUCCAUCCCGGUUGACUUGAGUGGUCGGUACUGGUAUACCAAUGUUGUUCCGAUGACCUAUUGGUCAGUGUGCUCUGAGGGGCAGUGAUUGUCGGCUAUUCGCUGACGGUUGGCUAUUGAUCAUAUUUGCAUCUAUCGCCACAGCUCGUGAGCAUUUCACAUACAUCAAUGGUUUGGCCAGCACAAGAGGGUGUUUUUUUCUGAAAAAGUGGUCGUACAUCAGACCCGUAAGCCGAGCGGCCAUUGCUAGGGUUAUAUGCCAGGUGGGCGAGCAUAUCGUGGCUUUGCCUGAGAUCCUUAGAUCGACACGGCGGUGUAGAUUGGGUUGACGGAUAUAACUACAGUAGCAGUUAUUGCAUACUUAUUUUCAGUUCAUCUCUUACACUUAUUGCUACUGUAAACCUUUCUUUCCCUAUACCUGGUUACCGGUGAGUAUGCUUGCCUUCGUCGGCUUGUGGUACCCACUGGAAGACCCUUUGUUGGUUUCUCACCCCUAUUUUCCCACAGGUGACAUGGGUAGGAUUGGUCGGGACGAUGCGUAAGGCCAUAGUUAGAGGGCCGAGAUAGAGUUUCCCGAUAUACGGUAUACGUUUUGAUUAUAUUCCUUACUUAGCAUCAGUUACACUUGUGGAUAGCAUACUCUUACCUUAACACCUGUUAGUAGAUAUUUAUGUGGUUCAGUUCCUGUUUAUACUUGUGGCUUUUGAGAUGUUGUACUCGAAGAGGUUUUGGAUAUCGAGCUUUUGGACUUAUGUGGUUUUAGCUUCGGAUUUGAAACUUGACUUUCUACCCCUUGUGGUAGUGUUUUCAAAAUAAAGACUCCCGUGUAGGAAACGAUUUUCAAAUGAUUUUCUUGUGGUUUUUCGAAAGUUAGAAUUUCAAACAAAGUCUUCGUGUGGGAGACAUUUUCAACUAAUAAGAUGAAUGAGAAUGAAUGUGAAUGGAUGUGACUAAGAACCAUCAGCUGUAUGUUGAUGAAUAUUGUUCCUUGUACAUCCUAUACCGCUGUGUGUGUGUGAGUGGUCUGAUUGCUAAUUGUACAUGUGCUACGUCGUGCAAAUACAUGGGAGACUCUGUCCAUUUAUUUCGAAAAUUCUCUAUAUUUGUGACGAGUCCGUUACACCCUUGAGGGUCAAGGUUUUGAAAAAAAAAGGGCAGUUUCCACCAACUAUGAUUUAUAAAGAUAGUCCGAUUUCGAAUUGGCUUUCAAAAAGGACCUCGAGGUGUGACAUAAUGUGGACAGAACAUUAUUGUAUGCCCUAGUAGUAGCAAUUCUGAUUGCAGCUAAGACAUUGCACACACCAUAAGGUAUGACUCAAUGGUAAAUAAUGGCUGAAAACAGAUUUUUGUAUAAUGUAUGCACAUAUAUUCAGCACAAAAUUUCGUUAUCACCACAUGUUUUUGAUAAUCUACAACCUUCAGUUUGUGAGAAAACAAAAAGUUGUAAACAACAUAAAACUAGGAUUCCGUAAAGCAGACUAAGUGGGUGUUUGGUGUCGACUCUCGAGAGUGGUUUUCAGGCCAAAAGUGAUUUUUCCAUCAAUGAGCGUUUAGUAACACCUUUUUUCAAAUCUGAUUCUGACUUUUAGAAUUAAUUUUUUGAUUUUACAAGCCCAAAAUUACAUUCUACUUGAAAUUUCAUCUGAUUUUGUACACAAAUUUAAGUUUUAAUUUUAAUUUUUUAUACAAAUUUUAGAUUUAAAUUCAGAUUUUAAAUUUUAAAUUAUAAAUUUUAAAUUUUAAAUUUCAAAUUUGAACUUCACAUUUCAAUCAAAAUUUUAAAUUGAAAAUUUAGAAUUUAAGAUAAAUUUUAAAUUUAAGUUUAAUUUUUAAAUUUCAAAUUUCAAAUUUUAAAUUUCAAGAUUAAAAUUUAGAUUUUAAAUUUCAAAUUUUAAAUUUUAAAUUUCAAUUUUCAAUAAAUUUAGACUUUAGAUUUCAGAAUUGAAAUUUAAAAUUUUAAAUUUUUAAUUUUUAAUUUCAAAUUUAGAUUUUAUAUUCAAAUUUCAAACUUUCAAAAUCAAAGCUUUAAAUUUUAAAUUUGAUUUUAAAGUUUAAUGUUUAUUAAAAUUUAAUUUAAAUUUUAAAGUGAAAAUUCUAAAUAUCAAAUUUUAAGUUUUAAAUUUUUAAUAUCUUAAAUUUUAAAUUUUGAUUUUAAGUUCCAAUAGCAAACUUUAAAUUCUAUUUUAGAUUUUAAAUUCAAAAUUUUAAAUUUAAAUUCAAAUUCCGAAUUAUUUUAAAAUAAAAUUCACCAAAAAAUUGUUCGCAAAUGGCAAAAUUUUUUGCUAAACAGCUUUACAUAAUCAUUUUAAGAAAAUCAUUUUCCAUCUAGACCCAGCUAAAUGCUCUACAUGGAAAAUAAAAAAAAAAAUCAAUUAUGCAAAAAUCAAUGUAUAAACGCUCUCCAAACCAAAAACAAUGCAAAAAUCACUUCUCCAACAGCUAGGCCAAACAGGCCCUAAAAUUAAAAAAAAAAAAAAAAUCAAUGUAUGAUAUUAUUUGCCAAAUACUUAUGUCAUUAAUAGGAAGUAAUGUUAUUACUGAUCUACAACGUGCAUUUUGAGAAAACCAUAUGUAGCUAAAUGAAGUCAGAGAACCAUAUGUAAAAAAAUGAAAUCAUCUCAAAUAGAGUUCUAAAAUAAAUAAAGAAAUAAAUAGGUUAAUUUAUAUAGCUUAAAAUUGCAUUCAGUUCAUCUAUUCCAAUAUUUGAAAUAUAUGUUCCUUAUGCAUAGUGGCUGAUUGCUAGCAGACGAGUUUAGUGACUUACUGCUUGAAGGAUCUCUAGGACGCGUGGACCUCUUAAUCUCCACGGAAGGUCUUUUGCAAGAGCCUGUUUAUGAAGUGAACAUAGUUAGCACUUAGAAGUAUAUUAAUCUCCAGCCCCCAAACACUUAAGAAGAAGAAGAAAAGCAGUACUAAACAUUUGUUGGUCAAAUAGAACAACAGAUAUGAAAAUAGAAGAAAGGCAUUUAUGUGACAUAUCCGAAAAUCUAGUAAUAGCUCCUUUCUUAUGCAGUCCUUCAGAGAAGAAAAGAGAACAGCAGAAGAGAAGAAAUAUUUUAAAAGGAAAUAAGAGAAGAGUUAAAAAUAAAAUUCACAAAGAAGCAGCUUGAUCUACUCAGUAAGGUCAUGAGAUGGUAAUGCACCAGAGGGAACAGACAAGUAAUUAAGUACAUUUGAUGCUCAAUAUGUAAUGGGAAUCAAACAAUAUACUCUAAUGUAAUUGACUAUAUCACUAUACAAAAUUUUUGCAGCUCAUGGCUAAAUUUAUUUCCCAAGUGAGCUGGUUAAUUAUCAACCUCCUCUUUCUUCCUAGCUUGAAACUCAUUGCAUUCAAGGAAAAACUAUGAAAGGACUACAUGAAUCUUUUCUAUGUUGAAGAAGAUUUCUGGUCAUCUGUUCACCUAAAAUGCUUUUAAUAAAAGACAAAGAUCAUUAGCAGUCAAAAAGAGCAUAAAGAAGGCUUCCAUUCAAAUUAAUGAGAAAGUAAGAUAUGAGAAGUAAAAGCAUCUUUUUUUUUUUAUGUUUAUGAGUGGGAAUAGCUAAGGGAAUCAAAUCAACCAUUUUCUUGAAGAUUAUUUUGAACAAUUCUCAUUUGCACAAAAAGAUGCAAAUAAAAGAAUUGAAUAAGCAUAGUCAGAACUCUGAAGAUUCUGUUUCGUGAAGCUUAAGUACAACAAGCGAUAGUGAGAGAAACACCAUUGUAGGAUCUUAUCUAAGCACUUGAAAUCUGAAUUACAACUUAUGGUUUACACAUAACACAGAUGUUCCAACAAAAUCAAUCACGAAUCACAAAAAUGAUACGGCUAUCCAGACAAUGAGAAGACUAAACAGUCGCAAAAUGAAAAGAAAAGAGGCAAGGAUAGAAUGGGAGUACAUGGCACCGGAAAUUUAAAUGUGCAUCGUAGUGUAUAAUUGCAAGCUAUCUUAUUUCAUGGUAGCCACAUGAGAGCUCAGUAGCCACUGAUGAGAAAGUACUUCAUUUUAAGAAUUCAAUAAAUAAAUUAACGAGUACUUACAUGUCUCAUUUCUUCUAAACUGAUUGAACCAUUUUUAUCAACAUCAAUAGCAUCAAACUGGUCCUUGAGGUCUGAUAGCUCCUCCUCAUCAAGUGUACUUGCUAAUGCCUGAAAUAUCUCUUGAUGUUUUAGAUCCCAAAUAAUGAUUUAAAAAUAACAAAUAAGUAAUUCCAUAAAAUAAGAAUACCCUUAAAGCAAAUUGUUUCAUGCGGCUGUACAUCACAAAUUCACGCAUGUUGGAUAGAACAGAAAUAUCUACUGGGAUUUCAGAUGCAUCUCCACCUUCUCUCACCCACGGGUGUGCUGCAAGGUUGAAGUCCAAAUAAACAGACAGAAAAAAUAAAUUAAAUAAAAACAAUGUGCCCAUCAAACUGAUGAGUUCCAACGAUCAUUCCACUCAAAAUGGGAGAGAAAUUUAAAUGUUAAAAUGAAGACCAAAAUAAAAUAAAAAAAAAAUAGCAUAAAAUCAUAUAGAAGCUAUAUCAUUUCUUUUUAAGCUCACAAUUGAGCUAUAUAUCAUACAUUCUUUCCUACUCAAGGACAAAGAAUAAACUUGAUACAUACACAAAGCUUGAGCAGCAGUUAGUCUUGCACGAGGAUUUUUCACCAAUAACUUUAUAAUGAAAUCUUUGGCGCUCGCACUUAUUGUUGGCCAUGGCUUUUUACGGAAAUCAGGUUUAUUCCUUAAGACCUGCAAUUAAGCAGCUCAAGCAUUAAAAUUCAUUUGUUAUUCCUCAUGGGACAACAGAACUACUGAGAAAUAUAGAAUCUAUUAAUGAUCAAGUAUGCCAUUAUAAACUAGUAACAUCAAUCAACUUCCUUAACUGCAUGUAUCUACUAAUUCAGCUUGAAGCUUAAAAUCAGAAGGAAAUGUCUAUCUAGCAUCAAGUUAUACAAUAAAUUUCUAGUAGAUUUGAGUUGAACAUUCCAAGAUCCAUGAGAGAAGAGGAUUAAAAAGUCCAGUAACCUCCCUGGAAAUGACUAGAUGCAUAAGAUAUGUAUAUAACACCGGAUAGCAUACCACAUUCAAUCAGCUUCAAUGGAUUUCCAAGUUUCUUCUAAAAAUUCUGCAGCAGAGAGCCACAUCGUGGCAAUUUUUUCUUUUUUUUUUUUCCUGUGAAGUAGCUUCAUGAAAGGGAGUUUCUUAUAAUAAGCUGACACGGCAGAUUCGAGUAUUCACUAGCACUACCCUAAACAAUUCCCAGGAAUUAGCUGUUCUUUCUAUGACAACUCACUGUCAAGCUAUAUAAAAGAAAAAACAUGUACAUUGUUAAUUCUUUCAUGAUGAUCCAUGAUCAAAUUAUAUUUUGUGAAUUCAACAACUUCUACUCAAAUCUUUGUCAUAUAAUAAAGGCUCCUCGACCAUCCAAUAGUGCUCACUAACACUAAUUAUAAAGUUGAAGUUAAACAAAAAAAAAGAAAAGCAGCAAUACACUUGCAUAUAAAUAUCUGAGUAUUUAAAAUUAUUGCUUUGAGGGGCACCAAAUAAGAAUGGCAGACGACUAAAGUCCAAAACUAAUCAUACUGAGGUUUCAUAGACUUUCCAUUUUCAAACAUUAGAACUCAAAACUAAAAGUGAGAACAAUGCCCUCCACUAAGUUUGCGAGGACAUUAGAACACUAGAUCAUCACAUCCGUAAGAUAAAGAUGACAAUGCAAUUCAUUAUGGUAUAUUCGUUCAUUGCCAAAACCAUAUUCGCCAGAAAAGUAAUUACCUCAACAAGCUGGAAAAAUGAUUACCUCAACCAAAAGUAGAAAAGGAAAAAAAAAAUAAAAUGAAAUAAAAUGAAAGAAUUCUAGGAGAACAAAAGUUGAGCUAGAUAUGAAGAUGAGACAAACUAGAGUAAUAAGUACCUCCUUAAAAAUUCCAUCCUCAGUUUUAUCCCAGAAAGGACGUCUUCCACAUAGUAAAAUAUAAGUUAUGACUCCUAUGCUCCAAACAUCAGACUCAGGCCCUGACCGGCGCUUUAGUACCUCUGGAGCAACGUAAUAAGCACUACCAACAAUAUCACGAAACAUUUUUCCUGCAAGAAUCAGUUUAAGCUAAGAGCACGAAAUCACUCAGAUAAUUACCGAUAGGAAUUGCUCUCACAUGAACUUGACGAUUGACAACUAAUAUGGUAACUUGCAGAAAAAGGAUUCCUAAACACAAACCUGGCUGUAUAAAGUCGGAAAGGCCAAAAUCUGUUGCCUUUAGAGGUGAAUCCUCCUUAGUUGAUUUGAAAAGAAAGUUCUGAGAAGGAAAGCAGGCACAUUCUUACGUCACCUGGCAAGCAAUGGAAUAUUACCAGAUUUACAAACUAAAUAUUAAGUCUCCCGAAGGUGUUGUAUUUAUACCUCAGGCUUCAUGUCUCUGUGUACUAAGCCAUGCAAGUGACACUCGGCUGCAACCUUCAGCAUCUGCCUCACUACUAUAGCAGCAUCUUUCUCACUGUAGCGGCUAUCCUUUCUGCGCACAGAAGAUCAAAUUAUUAUAUCCAAAUUAUGUUCCAGGAAAAUAUUAAUGCAUACAGGAUAAAUUUAGUGUGUCAAGAAUAGUUGCGUCAAGAAUAGUAAUGUCAAGAAUAGAAGACGCGAGAAAAUGGCAAAGCCAAGUAGAAGAUAAAGAGUAUAAAGCAAAAAAGACAGUAGAAGUUUAAUCGUACUUGGCCAAAAUUCGGUCCAGUAGUUCGCCACCUUCACAUAAUCUGGUAAAAUUAAGACAAAAAGGUUACUCCCUUCCAAAUAAAAACAGAUAGAACAUGCACCACUUUUAUCAAAAGAUUAGCGCAGAUUAAACAACAGAGCAACACUUACAUAUUCCCAAAAAAAAAGAGAACUUUAAUUAAUUAAGAUGCACAAUCAAGCGAAGUUUGACUAAAUAGAAUUCCAAUAGAUAAAAAGCAUGUCAUAAUGUUUACGUAUUAUGAUCAAAUUCAGUAGCAAGGUUUCACUACUUGAACAUUUGAUAUAGAAAUGAUGAGGAAAACAGCCAAGAGAGUUAGCGAUGAAGAUGUGUGCAGCAUGCUUAAUGGGAGGAACAUAUAAAGCCCUAUAUGUUAUUCAAUUUUACCAGAAGAAGCUGCAAAAUACUAGCUAAGAAUGAUCACUUUACAAACAAUUAGUAAUGCCGGAAUAAACAUGAUUUCAAAAUUCACAAGGAAAUGGGUUAUCUCAGUAGGUAUUAAAAUCGCAUAAUGUUUCUAAAGUAUGGCUGCAAAAGGAUAGUUACAUAUAUUGAGCAACAAUGGAGAAGCUUAUUAUAUGCUGAAUACGCUAUUAAGCACAUAUACUAUAAAUCUUUGCAGACAAAACACAAAACGAUGGCCAAUAUAGCACCCCCAAAAUAUCACCCUUUAAAGAACUCAAGCACUAGGAAUAACAGCAUUAGAAGGCUCGAUAGUGAGAUCCUGCAAUAAAAAGAAACUUGGAAUUUCGGAAUACUUACUCCAUAACAAUAUAUACAUAGGAAUCAUCUUCGUAUGCAUUAUGGAAGUGCACAACAUUCUCGUGAUCUUUAAGGGCUUGAAGUAUCUUUACUUCUCGCUUUACAUCCUCAACAGCAAUAGGAAGAACCAUCUGCCAUGAAAUAUCAAGAACCUCAAACACAUUUGAACAAUUAUAUGAGAAUUAAACGCACAAAGAACGAAAGGCAAUAAUCAUUCAUUACAACAUUCGAGGUACUUAGCAACCACAGUAACUAAUGCACGAUAAUCUUUUCAGCAGAUAUGAUCACUUGACAUUAGGGCUGGCAAAUGAGCGAGCCGGCUCGCGUUCGACUCGAUAUUUGGCUCACUCGAGCUCGACUCGAAAUUAAAUGAGCCGAGCUUGAACAAAAAAAAAGGCUUGAAAUUCAUUUCAAGCCGAGCAUGAGUAUUACUCGGCUCGUUCGAAUUAGGCUCGAAAAGCUUGAAUAUAUAUAUAUAUAUAGUAGAGCUACUAUGCUAUCGAAAGUAUAGAGGGUCCGGUGCUUUCGAUUUUUUGAUUCUUAGAUCAACCUCUUUAAUCAAUUCUUAUUUUUGGAUUAAUAUUAUUAUAUUACCUUGUAGGGACCACUCAAUCCUAGGGAUAUUAUUUAAUCCUAGGGGGACCGCAAUCAUCCCAACCAUACAAUUCUUAAUCAAAGGGUUAAAAAUUCGAAAACAUCAAAUCCUCUCUAUAUAUAUAAUUAUUUAUUAAAAAAAUAUAUAUUUUAAUUAUAUAUACGCUGAGUGAAUAAUCUGAGUUUAGUUAAAAUUGGGCCAAUGUUGUUGGCCCAUAAAAACAAACUCAAUAGACAAAUAAAAGAACAAAAUUUCACUAAAUUUAUACAUUUUUCCUUUCUUUCUUUUUCUCACCGAGCUCUAAAUUUUUAAUAUAUUUCUCUCUUUCUCUUUUUCUGUCUUUCACCCUAAGUGGCCAAGCCAGAAGCCCUCCAAGUUCAAGUAACAGCAUAUGCCCGCCGUUGCCUACCUUACUAUUAAUUGUAUGCUUGAGAAAAUAUACAUAAUAUUUUUAAAGUAAAAAAUUAUUACUCAUAUAAAAUUUUAAUUUUAGUUAUAUAUGAUUGGAUAGUUUAAUCCAAUAUUUAUCUAUAUAAUUUAAUUAUUUUUGACUGCAUAAAUGAAAACUAAUAAUAUGGAGAUUGAAGGCGGAAGAAAAGACAUGUGAGGCUAAAAAGAUUAGAUAUUCAACUCAUUUUUUUUUUCAUAUUAUAAUACUAUAUUUCAUAUAAUUAUUUUGUACUUUGAACUAUUAGACAUAUUUUUGUAUCAAAUUAUAGAUAAUGUUCUAUACAAAUUAAACUAUUGAUCGUAUGAUGUUGAGAAUUUCAAGCGGCUCGUUUAGGGCUCGAGCUCGCUCGACUCGAAAUUAGGCUCGCUCAAGCUCGGCUCGAAUUAAUUUCAAUCCAAGCUUGAACUUAAAUUUAGGCUCGAAAUUAAUUUCAAGCCGAAUUUGAGCCGAGGUAAGCUCGCUCGAGCUCGGCUCGUUUCCACCCCUACUUGACAUACACAGUGGUCAUACAUUUUUAUGUUUUGAACGUAAUGAAUCCAGACAUUAGACAAAUAUAGGAAAUAAUUUCUGGUUCAUUGUAAUUUUAGUUGCUUGGAUGAUGGUAGUCCAAUGGUUAGCACUCAAAAAGAAGGUCUUUCUCAAAUACUUUGACAAAAUACGAUCAGCGCGAUGAGAGAAAGAUCAAGUAUUGAAUGGAACUUGAAAGAGAGUUUGUUGCACUUACAAUAGCAAGGAAUCCACAAAAAUCACCGGGCAUUUGGUCGAACUAAAGAUCAGAUCGUACCUAUAUAUAGGCUUAGAUCUCCGCAAUUCAGCUGUAAUCACAUUUUCUAAACUGCAUUUCGAUCAUAGCACAUCCAAUGCUGCUUUUUUUUCCCAAUUGAUAAUACAUUGCCUAAUUGGGCGUGAGAUUAUUGUGUCAUAUUACACUUCAAGGGUUAAGCAAGAAAUAUGCUUGACACUUCAAAUUUCUUCUUUUGUUUUGCCUAUUGGCCGUUUGUUCAUGCCAUCAUGAACUCUCAAUUAGUAGGUAAUACCGAUUCACACACACCCUGAAUCAGCAAUUAUUAACUCAUUUGUCUAAGCAUUUCUACAUCAAUAGAAAGUCACGAAUUUUGGGGAUCAUUCUUAGCUACAUAUGCUAAACUUGCUAUGUUUAGGCCAACUACUAAAAAUAGUUAAAUACAGAGGUUUAAAACAAACACAUUUCUUCCUUGUUUUAUCUUGAUUGGACACUGAGUUCCAAAGAAGUAGAUGUCACGAUGUCAACUGGUCAUAGAGGUUCCUCAAUGAUUAUGAAGAAUAUUGUGAGCUUUCAGCUGUAAUGAAGUUGACCCUGUAUUUUUGAUAAACAGUUCGGCACGAUGAUUUCUUCUAAUUGGACUCCUAAAUGCAUUAGAGUUUAGGGCGUGUUUGGUUCGCUCCUUUUUCACCAUGGAAUCGGAAUCGGAAUGGGUGACUCCGUUUGUGGGUGUUUGGGAUGCGGGAGUUUCAUUCCGAUUCCGAUUCCCGAGUGGAAUGGGAAUCCCCUAAACACCUCUUUUCCCAAUCCGGCCUAAGAGGCUGGAUUGGAAGUUGAAUCCGGACGGAAUGGGAAUUUAUUUGGAUUAAAUUAAAAUUUUCAGCUUUUUUAAUUAAAAUAUGAGUUUAAAUUUAGAAAUUAAAUUUAUAAUUUUAAAUUUUAAUUUUAAUUUGAAUUAAAAAUUAAAAUGUAAUCAAGAAUUUUGAAUCUAACUUAUAAUUUUGUAUUUAAGUUAAAUUUUAAUUUAUAUAAAGUUUUAUUCUAAUUUUAUUUAAAACUUAAGUUAAAUUUAUGGAUUCAAAUUAAAAUUUAAAUUGUAAUUUUAAGUUUGAAUUUGAAUAAAUUGAAGUUUAGUUUUAUAUUUUGAAUUAUCCACUCAACUUCAAAGUUUAAUUUUUUUUUAAAAGAAAUAGAUUUAAAACUUUGACAUUAUUUCAAAAUUUUGAUGUAAAUUUUUAAUAUUUAAUUUUCAGUUUGAAUUUAAAUUAAUAUAUUAUAAAGAUAAAGUUAGUAUAUUAAUUUGAUUAUGUUUUUUAUAUCUACCUGAACCAAACACCGAUAAUGGGAAUGAUUUAUUCCGAUUCCGAUUCAGAUAACGAACCAAAUAGAAUUAGGUAAUGAGUCAUUCCGAUUCCGAUUCCAGCUUAUUUCGAUUCCGAUUCUUAUUCCAAUUCUGACUUCAAACCAAACGCGCCCUUAAUGUAAUUCAACCCAAAGGUUUGAAAAGAUGAUUUGAACUAAAGGGCAACCAUAUGCACACGGCUUCUACUAUUCUAAGGCUUGGAAGGAGUAAAAUAUGCAACAACUUUGCUGCCAUAGAGAGGGUGAUUAGCACUCUUAAUCCCAAGCUACAAUGUAGUGACUUCUAGGUCAAAUGAGAUCCAGAAGAUCUAACAUGGAAUAUAGUACUGUAAACUUGAAUACUUCUGCGAGUGCAGAGUGCACCAAGUUGUACAGCAUUCAAUGGAUGGUUUCGGAGUAAAUAACUUGAUGCUCGCUGUUCACAACUUUGUAAUUCCUUUUAACUGGGUGAAAUAAAAUGGUCAAAAUCAACUGUUUAUUUUAAAACUGAGUAAGUCGUGAAAAGGGAUAUCGGGUCAAAACCCUACACUAGUAACCUUACAUUACAGGCAUCAAGGGACCUAGUAACACAAUUUGAUUGAACCCAAAUUCCAUGUUUGGGGAAAAUCAAUAAUAUAUAUAGAUAAUCUACACUUCCAGUUCUUUAUUAUAGCAGAAACUAUUGCUUAGGCAAUAGGCGGCAUCUAUUAGACCAGACUGGACCAACAAAAGCAAAGGACACACAAAUUGUAGUUUUCUAACCAUAAGACACAGUCUACACUAGCAAAAAGACCAAAUACUUCAUAUCCAUUAGUCUUAAUUCUUAAAUCAUUGAUAGAAUAUAAAUUUCACAACUACCUAUUAUUAGUAGGCCCAAUAUACAUUGGCAAUGAAUUAUAACUGCAGUGCUCCUAGGAGGACUAGAAUAAUUUGUCAACGCACAUACAUGACUAAGUAUUAUGUUUCUAAAACAUAUUACAAGCCUGCUAUUAAAGGAGAAAAUAACUUUUCCAACAAUUACACAUUUUCCAUUUUAAUAGGCUAAAUAACAAAAGGACACCUUGCAGUUUAGCCUUUGUCUCAGUUACUUCCAAAUAUUAAAAAAUGGCAUCAAAUGCAACUUGCACUCUGCCAAAUGUCUCAAAUAGGCCCAAAAAUUUCAGAUGAUUGUUGAAUUAGAAUGUAAAACUUCAUGGAAAAAAAACUUUAGCAAGAAAGGAGCAGAAAUACAUGAGUCAAAUAAACACUCCAACAAACUGCUAAUUUUGGGGGCUCCCACCAAAAAGGGGAUUACUUUUAUCUAGUUUUAGAUCUAUAAAUUAAGCUUCAACUUCAAUAGAAUUUAGAUACAGAACCAACAUGAAAUGCUUGCCAAUCUUCAUGAAGUUUUGCAUCUAAAGUUGACAACUAUACCAAAUUUUGUGGCCUAUUGGAGACAAUGGCAUAGAAAAGGUUGAAAUUGAUGCAAAUUUUUAUGUAGGGACCCAGCAAUUGAUAUGGAGGAUAAGGAGCAAGAGGGAGCCAUAAAAUUUAGCCUUUUAAUAGAUGAAAAGUCCAAACUACGACCUUUAUCGUUGAUGUGAAUCACGGAGAGUGUGUUGAUAAUUUAUGAAGCUUGAGAAGGUCCUUAUACCUAUUCUUCUUUAUGCCAAAUCACUUUCUUGAUAUUUGUGGCAAGGUAGAGUUAUUGUAAUGACUCUCUCUGCCUAAUGUCAUUCUGUCAAUAAGAUCAAUCUUAGAUUUAAUAACAACCCUUGAACACAAAUAGCCAAGAACAUCCAGGUUCAUUCCAACAUAUACCUAGCCGCCCGAAUGAACAUGUUUCAUUGCGCAAUCAACCAAACUGAACUUUUGUAUUCGACCGAAGUAAUUUGCAAAACAAGAUAACAACAACCUAGUGAUCCAUAUGAAUUCAGAUUCCCCAAACAGAUCAGAUCAGAUCAGAUCGGAUCAGAUCAAACCGAAAAGACCUACCUUAUUCUUGUCGAUCCUCUUGACAGCCACGCGCUCCCCGUUGGAGUUGUCGGUGGCGACGAAGGUGUAACCGAACUGGCCGUGGCCGAGGAGCUUCCCGAUCGAAUACCUGGCGUCGAAAUCCUUGGCGUAGCCGAAUUCGGUGCGUUUACCGCAGGGCAGCGGGCCGCUCGGCCUCUUCCUGUGCCCCUUCUCCCUCUCGUACGGCUUCUCCUCCGGAUGCUCCGAUCGCUCCCGAGGCUUUGGCGGCGGCGCGGGCACGCGAUGGGCGCCGGAGGAGGUGCUGCUGACGUGACUGCUGCCGCUGCUGGUGGAGCCGCUGACCUUGGUGGCGACGGAAAAGCAGGAGCCCAUCCUCGUCUCCGCUUCGGCUUCUUCCCUUAAUUAGGGGAUUGGGGGAGAGAACCAUCAAUAAACAAAAAAUGAGAAUUUGGGGGGGGGAAGGGUGACGCGACCAGAUGUUUAAUAGGAGGGAGAUGGUGGGGAGCGGUGGUGAGAAUUGGGCAAAGAAGAACAGCUAUAGCGAUGGGGCCUCCUUCCUUUCGAAAGGGAAUAGAGAAGGUGGAGAGAAGGUUUGAGGAAGACGGUGGGAAAGAAAGAAACCGGUCAAAAGAGACGACUUCCUCUCCUUCGUGUGUUGAAGAGAACCAGACAGACGAGAUUAAAAGUGAGAGAGAGACAGGGAGAGAUGGUGGUGGGUAACGGAGGGUUCGGGUUUGAACGGUAAACGCCCUCCGUCCCGCUCUCCCACUCUCCCACGCUCCCUUUCUCCCUCCUUCCUUUCUCGUUCUUCGUUUUCUUCUUUCGCGUGUGACUGGAUCUCCUGAAUAAACAAAAGUUAUCUACCGCGCUUGCUUGCUAAGUCAAGAUUGGAAAUAAUGGAGCGGACUUUCCUUUUUAAAUAAACUUAUAAAAUUUUUUAAUUGGCUACGUAACUUUUUUUUUCUUAAAAAUUUAUUUGGCCGAAUAGUUCUCUUCUUACCAACUAACUUUUUUUUAAAUUUAUUUGGCCAUCCAAUAGUUCUCUUCUUAUCGAUCAACUCAAUGCCAUAGUAAAUAAAAUUGCACUGUAUUUAAAAAGACGAUAAAUUAUUCACCAUCUUCUAAAUUUUUAAUUAAAGAAGUAAAUUAUUCACCGUCAUUCAUAAACUAGUAAACCAUUCACCGUUUUCAAGAUUACUCUACCACAUUCAUUAUAUUAUUAACUUACAAACUUAAUUGGAACGUGAGGUGGCGGGGAUAGAAAGAAAUUAAGCCAACGAAUAAUUUGCCGUUUUUAUGUGAUAGUGAAUGAUUCACAGUCUACUUACUCCACAUUCCUUUUACGACAUAUUUCAACAACAACUAGAUUUUCAACAAUACGGGACUUUUGAGAAUAAUAUCAACAAAGAAAAUUCGGCAGAAUUAGAUUUUUCAACAAUAUAGAACUUUUGGGAAGAAUAUCUGUCACGCCCCGGGGUCGAGGAUUCCUCGGGCUCGCCAACAGAUCCACCGCGUACACAGGAAGCCUUGUGUACACGAAGCGAUAGAAGCACCUGCAACAAUACAUGAAACACUACAAGAGAGUAACAGAGCAACUAAAACAGAAAUAAAUAGUCACAUGUACAUAUAUGUAAUCCAAGGUGUAAUAUGUUGAAACUUUAUUAGAAACUAAGACUGUACCUUCUGCCAUAAUUUCAAUUUCUGUACCCAAUCUGUAGGCGGCGAUUUUUGCUCGUGGUUCGCCCUCGUUCAUGAUCUGCAAGAUAGCGGGACGUUUCGAGUCUAAUUCCGUUAUCCCCGGAGAUGAACCCAUCACAGAAAAUUUGAUUAGGGUAAGACCGGGACUCCCGUAUGUUAUAUUUAUAUACAACUUAAUGUAAAGAUGUUAAAUCAUGUCCGUCCAUCAAGGACGUGUCCAGAUACAUCCUAACCGUUAGAUCUUCCGUAACUAUAGAUUGACUUGAAUAGAUCGACUGUAUUUUUAUAAAUCGCCUUGAAUAAAUCACGUGGGCCACAUCCAACAUUCUCCCACUUGGCCAGUGAUAUAUUCAUAUAGGCGACACAAAAACUUUAUUAGGUACCAACUAAUUACACAGUCGAAAUCUCCCACUUGACCAAAAAAUUACAAUACUUUGAUUAUAGCGGUUAUGUCCCAAAAGAUAAACACUCUCUUCCAUAUAUCAAAAGCACAUAUUCCUUAAUUAAAUAACUUUAUGAGUUACAACCGUAUGAACUUAUUAUAAGUUCAACUCAGAAUCCCACUUUAGUGCACAAUAAUACUUUAAUGUAUAAAAAAUAACUUUAUGCGCAUAUGUACAAAAACCAAAAUAUGUUCUUAUUUAAUAAGAAUAAUCUUUAAAGUCUUUAUACAAGAAGAAACCACUUAAACUGUAAAUGGACUCAAGAUACCCAUAUGAUGAAUAUGAUCCUUGAACUUGUUUGUCGGCAUGAUGAAUAUGAUCCUUGAACUUGUUUGCCGGCAAUGCUUUAAUCAUAGAAUCAGCAAUCAUCAUCUCAGUCCUAAUGUGUUGGAUAUCCACAUUUUUCUUGUCAUAUUCUUUCACAGCAAGAUACUUUAUAUCAAUAUGUUUGUUGCGAUCUGUAAUUUGACUAUUCUUGGCAACACUACAAGAAAAACCAUUUUUAAUGGCCGUCAAAAUGGCCAGCAAAAGUAGUGCAAAAUGCCAGCAAAGAUUAAUGCUGGCAGUUUAUAAAUUGCCUCGCAAGCAACUGUCGACAAAAGAAAAGAGCCAGCAAAACAAUCUUUUACUGACAGUUUGAAGUGCCAAAAAAACUAUUUAUCAUGGCAAUUUAAAUGUGUCACGCCCCGGGACCCAGCGGAAGCCCGCCCGGCGCGUGCCCAGACCCGCCAUACGUCUAAAACAUAUAAGGCGUCUAAAACAACGAUAAUUAAAGCAAUAAUAAAAGGCAUUUAGGAGUAUCAGAGCAUGAUAUAAUACUAAGUUCUACAAUAGAGAAAGGAGCAUAAAGCUGGAAUCCACUAAUAAAAGCAUAAAGUAAUACAAAGAAAAUCCCAAAUAUAAGUGCUAAAAGUAGAUACAUAGGUGGUCUCUAUACAUGGAUACAAAAUCUCUCACUCUCUCAACUACAAAAAGAAAGACCAAACCACCUAGGCAAAGAACCGCUCCUCGCUAGCUAGCUAUGCGAUCCCCUUGCCGCGAUCCCGUGCCUCCGCCGGUGCAGAAGGCUCUGAAAGAAACCACAAAAAAGAGGGCGUGAGAACUAUUAAAAAUAGUUCCCAGUGGGCAAUUACUGACUUCAGUGAAUGCACCACAAGGCCCAAAGCUACAAANAUGGGAGCUAGAGUCCUUCCAAUCAAACCUAAACAAAGGUUCUAAACCCAUCAAUUUGGUUCCAAAGCCCUCAAAUCGAAAAUCCCCAAAUCUAGCCCUAGAAUUCAAAAUCUAGGGUUUCCAAAAAGGAAAACUACCAAAACAUGCUCUAAAGGAGAGAUCAUGAGUACUCACCUCACAAGACGUCCCAAACCAAGCUCCAAGCCAAGUGGAGUUGAAGAUCUCCUCUCAAACGAGCUCCUCUCCAAGCUCCAAGCCUUCAACAAUGGAGGAAACCCAACAAAAAGCAAGGUGGAGAAGAGAGGAGAGAUCAAAACCAAUCAAAAUCCAUCAAACAUGGAGAAGAAAUCAAAGGGAACUCCCCUUACCUUGCACUCCACAGAACUAGGGCUCAAAACCCUGUCUAAGGGGGCUGGGGUCACUUAUAUAGGGGUUGCAACAAUUGCAAAAACACCCCUCCACGAAAACAGCCCACUCUGCACUGUGUACCAGUACAUGGGUUUGUGUACCGGUACACCACCCACGAAAAGCCAAACCCGAGCCUCGGGUUUGCUGGGAAAUAGCCUGUGUACCGGUACACGAUCCCGUACCGGUACAGCCAUCAACCCCGUACCGGUACAGCAAGCGAACCCGUACCGAUACACAGCCUGCUGAAGGCUACCCGAGAGCUGACCAAAAAUUCAACUUUUUGGAUUUUGGUGCUCAGCUUAAAACCUCCAUUCUCGGGACUCGAAUCAUAGGUCGGAACACAGUCAACGACCUACCAGAAAGUCUGGAAAAGUUCA
Molecule: long non-coding RNA, 55029 nt
Filed under: Ananas comosus (pineapple)
Lineage: Eukaryota; Viridiplantae; Streptophyta; Magnoliopsida; Poales; Bromeliaceae
Description: long non-coding RNA (ACOM_LNC012043)
Source: RNAcentral